Molecule: long non-coding RNA, 49406 nt
Filed under: Setaria viridis
Lineage: Eukaryota; Viridiplantae; Streptophyta; Magnoliopsida; Poales; Poaceae
Description: long non-coding RNA (SVIR_LNC009895)
Source: RNAcentral
GAGUGCCUAUGCAAGCUACAAAAGAUGCAGGAACUCGUUAUCACGGGCCAUCUCCGCUAUCUUGGUCAACGCAGCAUCGGCGGAUUGGAUGCCUGGGUCGCCCCUCGACAUCUCCGCAUAUUGAGUACACGAGGCAACUUUUGGUUUUCAACACUUCCGGCCUGGGUGAAUCCAUCGCUUCUUCCGGACCUCACCAAGCUAUCCAUCCUCGUGAGGGAGCUACAUCAGGCCGAUCUCGAAAUCCUCGGGAGGUUGCCAGCUCUCCGCUAUCUACAACUGGAGGUGGACAACAAGAACCUCGGUAUCCUUGCGGGAUUCGUUGUUGGUGCUGGUGCGUUCCCGUGCCUUGUAUUCUGUGUCUUCCGGCAAUUUGCAGUGGUACUUCAACAGGGAGCUAUGCCAAGGCUCAGAGACCUUACGUUAUUGUCGUUUUAUCUGCGGGAGGCAAGAGGAAUUGCCUGCAAUGACAGUAGUCUCGACUUGGGUCUGGGGAACCUGCCAUCGCUGCAGUAUGUCGAGGUUGCCCUGCAAUGUGAUGGUACUAGCAAGGAGGAGGCAGAGCAAGCCAAGGCUGCGCUGACGCAUGAAGCUGAAAUGCAUCCCAAUCAUCCCCUUCAUUCGAUCUAUACAGGUGCGCCAGCUCCUGAUUGUUAUUCCUUACUUGUCUCCUUCCCCCUUUCUUCUAAACUGUAUUUGCAUUUAUUCCUCUGUUUGAGAUGGUCGAUAUAUUUCAGCAUGCCUUUCUUCUAGCCCAUUUGCCUCAAUUCUUCUAAUCUUCCUUUCAUAUAUUUCGGUCUGAUAUACAGGUGGCCGCUACUGGGGUGAGUAAACAAUGAAUGCAGCACACAUGCGUCUGAGACUCAGAGCUUUGAUCGUUUCUGCUGUGCAUCAACCAAUAUGGCAUUUCGUUGCGAGAGUGUAGGAUGACAUUAUCAGUGGAUAUGAUUGUAAUCCCUGACUAACUUCCCCCUCUGUACUCAUUGCAAAGGGACUGAGCUUUACCGUUUUAUUUUACUCAUUGCAAAGGGACUGAGCUUUACCGUUUUAUUUUACUCCUGCGCCCCUAAUCUCGUUGCCUUGUAUCGUCUCAGUGGUUCAGGGCCUUGGCUGUUUAUUUUGAUGAAAACUAAAAACAAGGUAUUUUUGGGUUAAUGUUGCAGCUACCAUUGUUGCGCGGUUUCUGAUAUACUAGGCCAACUGUUAUGAAAUUUCAUUGCAGCUACCAUGCCCAAGACCACAUUCAUUCUGCACCUCUCUGAAGAGAGAUUCUAGCUGGCUAGACUUCUAGUCCAUGAUUUUCAGAAUUUUCGCGGCGGACGGAAUCACGAUCCAGAAUUUUCAAAACGCACCCUUGAACAUUUUCAAAUAACCCCCUUAUUUGGAUCGCAAUUAUUGAUCGAAAUUCAAAUAUUUACAAAACACCCCCUUUUAUUUGCAUCUAGCCCCCUAAUUUGGAUCGCAAUCUGAUUAUUUUACAAAACACAGGCCAAAAAUAACAGGACGUGAAAAGCUAGACCUUUCCACUGGUAACAUUUCAGCAAGUAUGGCACCAGGAUAAGAGCAUCAGCUAAUUGUCCAAAAAAAAGCCGAAUUCGUAAAAACAAGUGUACUUUCUUUCUGGCAGUACAGAAGUUCUCAACGCUACUUGAAACAAACAGUGUGACAGGGCUGCAGUGAAUCAGACUAUCAGCGACUGCCCUAGUGGAGUUGACAAGAGUAUGAUGAUGACAGCCAUGGCAACACACUAGGCAGAUUGGCCCGCAUCAACAUGUCCACGCUUCGUACAAAGACUGUCUAUUACUGAUCGAUGAUGGGAAUUGUAAGAAUCUGGAAGUGUUUCACAGCCUUGCAAUGACAGCUUCGACCUCGGCAGGGGUGUAGAGGUGGCACUUGGGGGCGACCUUGGCAAUAUCGACAUUGUUUGGGGUCACCUGUUCAGAAUGCGAUAAUAAGAUCACAUGUUCCCCUACAGAGCUGAGCUAUGGAGUAUGGAGUGGUUUGCCACGCCCUAACCUGCUUCAGGAUAGAAAGGGCUAUGGUCUCCGCCUCCUGGAGGGUCAGAUCCUGCACCAAGAUGUUAGCAAGUUGUUACUCUCGAUUUUCUUUCAUAGGAAUAACAGCCGACAUUUUCUAUGGAUCUGCUCCCAACAUGGCAGUAAUGCAUACACUAGUACAAGUAUCUUACUAUUACUAAUUGGAGGCUCCUUUUGAAGUCUUCACAUGAAGCCACCUAGGAAUCUUAGGUGGAUGCUUAAAAAAAGAGAAAACUCAUAGAAGCUUCCACAUGAAGCCACCUAAAAAUCUUAAGCGGACACUCUAGAAAAAGAGAGAAAUCCUAAAAAUUUUCAAAAAAAACAAAAAAAUAAUAACAAUAAGUUUUUUUUUUGCAGUCAGUUACAUAUAUUUUUUUAAGACACCGCGCUGCUAGCUCCUACCAAUGCGACGAGCAAAGCAAGCAGAUAGUAAGAUGACAUGCGUGUGGAUUCAUUGAAACAGAUUCAGUUAGUUGAUUCUAAAUCGUAUCUAUCCUAAAAGGAUCUUUAGCUAAUACAACUAAUAAACUAGAUAUGUGCGUGCAUAGUCCCGAGGGAUGACAUGUAGACAUAUAUUGCAAUUUCUUUUUUAAAAAAUAUGUCUAUCUCUAAACCAACAAAUAGAAAAAAAAAUCUAUCUAAAUCUAAAUCUCUUCCAUUCUCACACGCCUAUUAAAGAGAACACAACCAAUCCAAUCCACGUUCCAUAGACUAAUUGGAGGCUCUUUUUGAAACCUCCCCGGGCAAAAGGGGUACCUCCACAUGAAGCUACCUAGAAAUCCUAAUUUGAACUCAAACAGUAAUUUCACGCUUAUGCCUGAAACUCAAGUCUCCCUUGCUGUUAGUUUCUUAAGUUAGCUAGGAAAUGUAACUUGCUAAUCGAAAUCCGUCAGUAUCGUUGAUCUUUUUUUUUUUGGGUGGUUAGUCGUUGCAGUUCCAGUCACUGUUUGUGCAGUUAGACACAGGAUCGUCAUGCAGUUUCUUGAUAGAGCAAUCGAUCCUCCUAUCAACUGUCAGCAUUUGAAUUUUUCAGAAAACCAAACUGUAAAGUCUUGCUCUGACCACUCAAUGCAGUCCUAAUAACUGAAAAAUGACUAUGCUUAUCUGAGCGCAAAUUGGCUGUGGCACCUCCGCCCAUCUUUUUUUUGUUUUUUAGCUCUUUUUACGAAAGAUUCUCACAAAUACGUCCCUGGCGGAACCAAUUUUAAAAAUAGACCCUUAGCUUGGCGCCAUCCACGUUGGCGCCAAGCUUACACGUCUCGGCGCCAAGGUCCAUGCGCAGCUGCUGACGCGGAUGCCGACGUGGUCGGGGCUUGGCGCCAUGGAUCUUGGCGCCAAGUUUGACGCCGUAGGCCUCGGCGCCGAGCAAUUUACCCCAUACCUCCUGGCGUUUCGAACAAAAUAAGUAUAAUUAUUCCGAGAAGUGUGUAACAAACUAUGCUCUAGUUCAACUGGUUAGGAGUGUUGUACGGAACUUGGACUAGUCUCGAGAAAAAAAAAAGCACGGGAGUGUUGUACGGGACUUGGGCCCUGUUUGUAUACGCUUUUCCUAGCCACGCUUAGAUUAUAAUCUAAGCAAAGAUUUUCUCGCUUCUCGCUUUUCGCUUCUCGUAGUUCAAAUCGUUGAAGCGGCUUACCACAUAAGCGAGAAUCGGUGGAAAUAAGCAAAGCGUUUGGCGGGAUUCUCGCUUAUUUCCACCGAUAAGCCGCUUAUAAGCGGAUACAAACGGGGCCUUGGACUAGUCUCGAGAAAAAAAAGAAGCCCAUGUUCUAAAAAAAGAAGCUCCCGUGCUUUUUAGAAAAAAAUAAAAUGUAGAAAAAAAGAUUCAACACUAACCAGUUGAACUAGAAUUUAGUUUGUCACACACUUCUCGAAAUAAUUAUACUUCUUUCGUUCGAAACGCCAUGAGGCAUGGGGUAAAUUGCUCGGCACCAAGGUCUUGGCGCCAUGUGACGCCAAGAUCCAUGGCGCCAACACGUCGGCACCCGCAUCAGCAGCUACGCAUGGACCUUGGCGUCAGGAUGGCUGGCGCCGAGACGUGUAAGCUUGGCGCCAUCCACAAUGACGCCAAGCUAAGGGUUGAUUUUUGGAAUUGGUUCCGCCAGAAACGUAUUUGUGAGAACCUUUCGAAAAAGGGUUAAAAAAUAAAAAAGUCGCCACCUCCGCACCUGUUGAUUCUUCCCAGUAUCACUAUCAGUCUACUUGGUCAUACAUAGUACACACAAGACACAGCGCGUUUAUCAAAUCUGGGUGCUAUGAAGAUGGUAACAUAGUAGUCAUAGGUGCCCCAGUCUAUGAGAUGUAGCCACAAAAAGUAUCGGGUGCCUCCGUGCCUGCGCCUAACUUGGUAGUGCUAUAUCAAGUAGCAUAAUUGCAGCACUGAUGUGAAUGCCGAGUCGCAGCUUGUUUAACAAAUAGAUUGAGAAUUGUCAAGGUCACCAUCCGCAAGCAUGCUGCAAAUCCAUCCACCUGUAGCAAUAUUUCACCAAAAAGUAAAAAAAGAAUCCCGGCCUUACUUCACCUGGCGAAACAUCGAUGCAAUGGAAUUUGUGACAAGAAUAUAUGUUCGAUCAUGAUCACCACUUUUCAUCUCCAAGAUGUUAAGCAAAUAUGCCAGUGCAAAUAUUUUCUGUUCAGGGGGACAGAGGCCAUAAUCCUGCAUUCCUGCUCAGCUUUUACCAUGAUUGACUUUGUGGACUAGAUUUACAUUCAUGACGACUAUUAUGUACUAUACGGGUAUUUAGUAGCACCUUUGCGCUGUGGCGGAAGUAUAUCUUGUAUAGUGGACCUGCAAUCAGCGGCCUGGUCUCGCUUGGAUCUUUCGUCACUCGAGUGUUCGCCUCUUUUUAAAUAAUGGGAAAAGUUCCAACUUCAAAACCCUCAGGCAUCAGACCGCGAUUAUUGAUUAUUGUUGACAUUAUUAACUAAUAUGUAGAGUGAAACACCAUCCAUGGGAUGAAAAAAUUCAUAGCUCUAUACUCUAAAAACUGGCAAGCCUUGAAUCGUCAGUGCGCUCCAACAAUACCCAGAAUCGAAGCCAAUGUAUCACUCCUGCAAACAAGUUUUUAUGUACCAUUAUUAAACACAAUAUCGUUCCUUGUAAGCCAUAUUGCUCAACAAUAGAUGCAGCGACCUGUCAAUAAUAAAAAUAUUGUGCUCUCGACCCCCUAGUUUAUGCCAAUUAUUUUGUAUUUUGUGGUGGUGAGAUUCCUAACACAAUGUGUACCGUACACCAAAGAAAUUUUGCAUAAUAACAUAAAAAAGGUGUUGCAAAGUUUCUGGCUUACUAAACACAGCAAGCCUUGCUCCCAUCCCAAUUCCUCAUAGCUAGAUUGCCUUUCGUAAGUAUCACUCCCCCUUUCAAAUACCACAUAAAUAUUUUUAUUUCGAGAGAAAUCUUUGUAUGUUAAAUUUCUUGCGUAACUUUGACUCUGUUAUUGACUAGGUCCCUAUAUAUAUAUAUGUGUGUGGAGUUCACCAUGAAAACUUCAUUGUUACGAUAGAUUCCACCUAAAUAUAUCCGCACCCUCAUUCACAUUAGCAUUUGCUAUUCUCACGACAAGUUUAUACUACUCAAUUAACUCAUCCCAACUAAACUUUCACCUAAACAAAACAUUAAUUGGGUUGGUACCAAGCAACUGGUAUGUAAUUAAUGAAUGUAAUUUUCAUAAAUCCUUCCUCGUUCUGCCAGUACAUUUCCUCAGUAGUCAUGCAACUGGUGUUCAUGUUUAAUUCACUUAUUCAUGUUUAAUUUUCACGCGUCUUUCCACGUGCGAGCGGGCCCACCAUGUGCCGCUAGCACAGCACAGGGAACCACGACCGCGGCGCGCGGGCAGGGCGCGAUCUUCGCCGCGGCUCGACCGCCCUGCGCACGGCGCGAGCGGAGCUGCGGAGACCGGGUGCUUGGACGUUGCCGCCCGAGCAGAAGCCUCGGAAGAGAGAAGAGAAGAGGAGGUGGAAGAGGAUUGUGGAGAAGGCAGACCAACCUGCCCCUGACGUAGCGCAUCAGCGCGUGGGGUCCAGGACACAGUACAGGAAAUCAUGCAUCCAAUGCUCUUUCUACUACCUCUCUCAUCAAGCAUCGGUAUCCUUUUCUUCUCCACUGCUGCUUGUCCACCAACGGAAGAAAAAUGGAGGAAGGAGAUGCGGUGGCCACAAUACUUUUGCCUUUUGCCGUCGCCGCAUGGGCCAGUACAGAAUCCUAUCCACUUCUGCCUCCACCAUCGAUAAGCUUUCCCCUUGUCUCCUGUCGAUCCGGUGGUUCCAAGGCAGCAGCAAGCUUGGCGCAGGCAACUUAACAGCUCCUCGGCAGCAAGUUCCAAUCAAUCUAGCGGUGGGAAUUGUCACUUCGGCGACAAGGACUAUAAUUCAUCAUCACGCGCGUCUACAGACCGGUGAGUCCUCGCUUACUUCCGUUCUUUGUGCGCGUCUACAGACCUCCGAGAGCACUAUAAUUCAUCAUCACGCGCCCCUGCUUGCUACACCUAUACUCAUUGCUAGCUCUUGCCCAGGGACAAAUCCAUGGAGAUCGUGACAGGGGCAAUUCCAUUGAUCUCCAUACACCACUGCUGCUCACAGCUCACACAUACACACUACAAUCUCGCUCCUUGAGCCCAGAGGCAGAUCCGGCCAUGGAGGUGGUGACAGGGGCACUGCCGAGCGUCAUCACCAAGCUUGGUGAACUGCUCAUCGGAGAGUACAAUCUGCAAAAGGGGGUGAAGGGUGAGAUCAGGUUCCUCCAAUCUGAGCUCCAAAGCAUGCAGGGUGCCCUCGAGAAGGUCUCCAACACACCGGCUGACCAGCUUGAGAUUGAGGACAAGAUCUGGGCCAGGAAUCUGAGGGAGCUGUCCUAUUAUAUAGAGGACAGUAUCGACACAUUCAUGGUCCGUGGCAAGUGCAAUGAGCAGGCCAACCUGCAUGGCAUCACGAAGUUCAUUGAUAGAAGUGUUGGUUUGUUCAGAAAGGCCAAGAUUCGCCAUGGGAUUGCUACCGAGAUCAGAGACAUCAAGAGCCGUGUUGAAGAGGUGGCCAAGCGGCAUGAUCGGUACAAGUUAUCAAACAGUAAUGUGGCUAAGCAUGUCCCAAUCGACCCUCGAUUACUUUAUCAGUACGAUAAGGUGACUGAGCUCGUUGGCAUUGAGGAGGCAAGAGAUGAGAUAAUUCGGAUUCUGAUGGAAGGCAAUGAAGUGUCCAAGCAGCAAGACAAGAUAAUUUCCAUUGUUGGGUUUGGAGGCCUCGCUACGGGAAACCUCAAAUUUGCCGAGUGUAAUUACUUCGCCGAGUGUAUUAUUGCGGGCACUCGGCGAAGGACCGGUUUGCCGAGUGUAAUACUAAAAACACUCGGCAAAAAUAUUACACUCGGCAAAGAGCCUAUUUGCCGAGUGCCACCAAAAAAACACUCGGCAAACACCCACAGGGCACUCGGCAAAGAUUGAGCACUCGGCAAAGUGAUGAGCACGUGACUUCCCCGUGCCGCGACGGGCCGGUGCCGUGAUGGACGUUAGGCUUUGCCGAGUGUCGCAGGGGGCACUCGGCAAAGCCACUAGUUUGCCGAGUGUCGUGAUGGAACACUCGGCAAACCUACUACUUUGCCGAGUGUCGGCAUGGGACACUCGGCAAAGUGGCGAGUAUGCCGAGUGCCUGGGGGAACACUCGGCAUACUUUAUGGUUUGCCGAGUGUUUUUCGACACACUCGGCAAAAGUAAUUUUUUUUCCCUCCACCCUCCAAACUUUUUACACUUCACAUGUAUGGUAUUUGGCACUGCAUGGUAGAAGGUGGACUAUUUUUUGACCUAUUUGCUAUAUUUAAUCAAUUAAUUUCAUUUAGAGUAAUUUUUGCUAUGGCAACACACUAGGCAGAUUGGCCCGCAUCAACAUGUCCACGCUUCGUACAAAGCCUGUCUAUUACUGAUUGAUGAUGGGAAUAGCAAGAAUCUGCAAGCGUUUCACAGCCUUGCAAUGACGGCUUCGACCUCAGCAGGGGCGUAUAGAGGUGGUACUUGGGGGCGACCUUGGCGAUAUCGACAUUGUUUGGGGUCACCUGUUCAGAAUGCGAUAAUAAGAUCACAUGUUCCCCUACAUAGCUGAGCUAUGGAGCAUGGAAUGGUUUGCCACGCCCUACCUUCUCUUCCAUAACCUGCUUCAGGAUAGAAAGGGCUAUGGUCUCCGCCUCCUGGAGGGUCAGAUCCUGCACCAAGAUGUCAGCAAGUUGUUACUCUCAAUUUUCUUUCAGAGGAAUAACACCCGACAUUUUCUAUGGAUCUCCUCCCAACAUGGCAGUAAUAUACACUAGUACAAGCAUUUAAAUAAUGAGGUAAAAUCUUGGGGUGUCAUUCUGUGUGAGUAGCAUAUUGCCUUAAAGAUUCUAAGCAGAAUUGCAACCGACGUAUUACCCUCAGACACUGUUUCACUGGACUGAGUUUAUAUAAGAUUUAAUCGGAGCUUUGAUGCAUAAUUCCAUGUAACUAGGGUUGACAUGCAUCAUAUCUCCGUAGAACUCUGUGAUUCUUUGAUUAACUUAGCAUUUAUCCCUUGUUGUACUGCUCCUGCAAGGAGCUAUCAGCUCCUUCAGAGCCUGAUCCGAUUGCCUUUGCGUUGCAUUGCAAAAAGGUACCAGACGGGUCCGUGUAGUACCUGCAGGACACAGAAGGAAGAUGAAUUCUUAGAAGUUCAGUGGCUUUGUGUAAAUUGAUCAUGACAUCAUUACAAAAAGAUUUGUCUCAUAAUAGAGGGAUGAAGAUCCAAUGAUUGCAUAAUAACCAAACUAUAUGUCCGGGGUUUGGCUAAACAGAAUAAUGAUUUUUUCCCAACACUUACUGGGAAGCAUGAAAAGAAAUACUUCUAUACUUGAAAACUGUACGCAUACAAAUAUAGAGCAUGAGCACAUAAAACCCUGCAGAAAAUUAACAGUGAGCCUUCUUUUUAUAUAUAUCACUUAAGCUUGUUAUAGCUAAGACCUUGUCCACAUACAGAAUAGAACCCAAUACACGAUGAAGCUAACCACUAGGACAGUCCGUGUUCACAAGUUCAACAACUUUCUGUAUUUCCUUAUUUUAGAAAUUCCACUUUUCAAGUAAUUUCCCUUCCAAAGAUUUGAACAUAAUGACCACUAGCAGAGAAUUGACUUUCCAUGCGCUCCCUUUUGUCCCGGUUUAAAGUUGGCCCGGGACAAAAGGUUCAUCAACCAGGACUAAAACUCGGUCACUGGUGGGGGGCUCACCAACCGGGACCUUUUAUCCCGGUUGCAAAGGCUAGUGGAAAAAAAAGACUCUGAGAGACCUUUUAUCCCGGUUGGUAACACCAACCGGGAUAAAAGGGUCAAGAGCCUUUUAUCCCGGUUUGUAAUACCAACCGGGAUAAAAGGGGGUCAUUUAUCCCGGUUGGUGUUUCAAACCGGGAUAAAAGGGUUCCCAACGAGGUGACUGGAAGGUGGCUGGAAGAGGAUUAAAUCCUCGAACCCUUUUAUCCCGGUUUGUAAUACCAACCGGGAUAAAAGGGAGUCUUUUAUCCCGGUUGGUGUUUCCAACCGGGAUAAAAGGGUCCCCCACGAGUUAAUACAAAAGGAUAGCAUCCCCUGCAUAGUCAGAUGUGGUGUGUAGGUGGGAUGGCAAGGAAGCUACGCGUGUGGCUGGAGGUUGUGGGUUCGAAUCCCACGAACUGCGCACGUGCAUAUUUCGCGUGAAAAAUCGCGUGACUUGUGACUUGCACGCGUGUGGGGGGGGGGCCUCCUGGGAGCUUGGGAUUUUUUUUUUGCAGCGUCAGCCGUGGGGGUCUUUUGUCCCGGUUGAGUGACCCGGGAUAAAAGACCCCCCCUUUUGUCCCGGUUGGUUUAUCCCGGAUGGAUUUUCGGGAUAUUUGCACCCUACCAACCGGGACUAAAGUCCAAUUCUCUACUAGUGGACCUAGAACAAAACUGCCUAACAAACAACCAUAGUUCAUGGGAGUCAAACAAACGGUAAGUCUACUGUCUAGCCUCUACAGCAACUAGACAUAGGCUACUCAAUACAGAAACCAUGACAACCUAAAAAGAGCCAACAGAGAGCAAUUACGAUGCAUGAUAGAAAAAAUAAGUAAAGCAUCCCACUUUACCAGGACAGUUUACAAAAAAGCCAAUAAAAAGAAGCUACCAUUAAUUGCAUGGUAGUACAAUGAUUUCAUAUAGCAAAAAAAUACAGCUGUUUUUUUUAAACAUGGAUUCUAAAGCCAGUUGUCAAAGAAAACACAGUUCAGUGAGCUAAAUGGAUCAAUACUUACAAGCUAGGUCCAUUCUCAUCAUGUCCAGCAAUUAGGAGAGACACUCCAAAUGGUCGUGACUGCACCAACAGAUAAGUACAUCAGAACCCCACUCCAUAAAAUGAUUACUUUUGCACAUCUGUUCUAGUUUAAUGCUCUUUAGUCCCUCCAACCAAAUAGGGGGGAACCCUGACUAAAGGAGCAUUUAGUCCCUAAAAAUAAGUAAUUAAGGGCAAACCAAACAAGCUCUUACUGGGAAGCAGGAAAAGAAAUACUUUUAUACUUGAAAACUAUAUGCAUACAAAUAUAGAGCAUGAGCACAUAAAACCCUACAGAAAAUUAACACUAAACCUUCUUUUUAUAUAUAUCACUUAAGCUUGUUAUAUCUAAGACCUUGUUGUAGCUAAGUUUGUUACCAUUUUUAAUGAUGUAUAUCAAACAUAUUCAACAGAAAAGAGGUUAUCCUUUCAAAAUAGCAUGGUAGAUCAUGCUAGGCAUCUAACUUCUAUGAAUAUGCAACAAGUGAGGUGAGUUGCUGUCUUUCCAUCUGCUAUUAAUCUCAUGCCUGCCCUUUUGAGCUUUAGAGUUUUUCGUGUACUGGAUUUACAAGAUUGCCACCUUUGACAACGUUACAUUCCUAAGGAUCUUGAAAAUUUAAUUCACUUGAGGUACCUGGGACUAAGACGCACACAUAUUGCUCAGCUCCAUGAAAAAAUAGGAAACCUACAACUUCUUCGAACACUAGAUGUAAAAGGCAAUGGAUAAAAGGUGCCCCUAGCUCGAGCUGUGCUUUCUCUCCACUGUGGGUAAAAGGCAAUGGAUAAAAGGUGUAUCGGCGCGAAGGAAAAAUGGAGAUGCUGUGGCCACCGAAAGGGAGGUGUUGCGCAGGACCAGUACUUUUGCCUUUUGCUGUAGUCGCAUGGGCCAGUACAGAAUCAAUAAGCCUGGGGAGAGAGAGGAGAAGAGAAGAGGAUGGAGGAAAAUAAAAUAUUUUUUGUAUGUGGGUCCCACAAAAGUUUGUAAAAAUAUUUCCGCUUGCGACCAACCUGCCCUCUGCUUCGUGCUGUUCCAAGGCGGUUGCGAGCUGUGUUGCGGCCGAGCAAGCAACCUCGGUCCGGCGACGAGCGGCGGGCAGCGCGAUCCAGCAAACUAGCGAGUCCUAAGCACCGGCGACAAGGAGAGGGCGGCAACCGGUGAGUCCUCGCUCACUUCCGUUCUUUGUGCCCGUCUGCAGACCUCCGAGAGCACUAGGCACAGCACUAUAAUUCAUCGUCACGCGCCCCUGCUUGCUACAACCUUACUCAUUGCUAGCUCUUGCCCAGGGACAAAUCCAUGGAGAUCGUGACAGGGGCAAUUCCAUUGAACUCGAUACACCACUGCUGCUCAUAGCUCACACAUACACACAACAAUCUCGCUCCUUGAGCCCAGAGGCAGAUCCGGCCAUGGAGGUGGUGACAGGGGCACUGCCGAGCGUCAUCACCAAGCUUUUGGUGACCUGCUCGUCGGUGAGUACCACUAUCGGAAACCUUAAAUUUACCGAGUGUUUUUCUUUGCCAAGUGUUUUUUUCGAACACUCGGCAAACAAGCUCUUUGCCGAGUGCCAAGCUAAAAACACUCGGCAAAGAAAAAACACUCGGCAAAUCGGAUCUUUGCCGAGUGUCAACAAAAAAACUCUCGGCAAACCCGCCUCUUUGCCGAGAGUCAAAAAAAACACUCGGCAAAGAGGGGGCUUUGCCGAGUGUCAAAAAAGACACUCGGUAAAGGGGGGUUUGCCGAGUGUUUUUUUUGACGCUCGGCAAAAAAAUAAGUUUUUUUUUCUCUUCUCACCUUGAAAUUUUUUCUACUCCCCACAUACAACAUGUGGUACUUCAUAUUAAAAUUUGGUAUAUUUUUGGAUUUGUUUGCUAUAUUUAAUUAAUUAAUUGCAUUUCAAGGGAAUUUUUGGUAUAAGUCAAAUUUGAACUGCAAGUGAUUCAAAUUAUAGAAUAAAAUGAGUAGAAAAAUAAUAUUUAUGUUAUUUCACCCAGUUUGAGGCCUAACCCAUGAAAUGAAAAGAAAUUUUAAACAUCUUGCUCAGGAAACAUAACCACAAACAUGUGAUCGAAUGAUUUUUAAAUUCUAAAAAAGGCAAACGAAGUCGGAAAAUCAUGAGAUUUGCCAUGAUGUGAUGAUAUCAUACGUGGAGGUUGUGGUAAAAAAUUGAGAAGGUUUUGCACAUUUUGCCAUGUACGAUGUUUACAAACCAAAGCAUCUCCAAAGAAGAAUAGUAGCGUUGAGAAGAAUUCGAUUAGAUUUAGAGUCAAAGUGACGGUCGAGUUUUGAUUUGACCACAAAACUUUUUUUAUAUGCAAUAGAGAACAUAUAUUAUUUCAUGUGUCAUUUUGCUAUUUUUGUGGAACUGUUGGAUAUUUUUAAUAAUGCAUUAAAGGUAAUUAUAGAAUGUUUGCCGAGUGUUUUUUCUUUUCACCCUCGGCAAAAUUUUUUUCUUUUUAUUUGCUGAGUGUCCCACAUUGGGACACUCGGCAAACAUCAAAAACUACUAUUUUAACCCGGCCCGUCCCCAGCACCCCCUCCACGCCCCCACCUCCCCCAGCGCCCGACGCCCGACGCCCCCUCCGUGCAACACACCGGCCCCCCACCUCCCUCUCCCCGCCGCCGGCUAGCCACUGCCGCCGCCCCUUCCCUCCCUCCCGCUCCCUCUCCUGCCAGCGCCCCUCCCCCUCCUCUCCCCUCCUCCCUCCCCGGCGACGCGCGGUCCGUCCCUCCCGGCCGGAUCCGGCUGCGGCGCGGCCCCUCCCGGCCGGAUCCGGCGGCGGCGCGGCCCCUCCCGACCGGAUCCGACGGCGGCGCGGCCGCCCCUCCUUCCCCCAUCGAGGCCCCCUCCCCUUCUCUCCGGCGGUGGCCCCUCCCCUCCCGGCCGGAUGUGGCGGCGUGGUGGCGGGCUAACGGGCCCCCUUCCCCUUCUCUCCGGCCGUGGCCCCUCCCCUCCCGGUCGGAUGUGGCGGCGUGGUGGUGGGCGACAGCAGGCGAGCCGGCGUGGUGGCGGGCGGCAGCGGGCGAGGCGGCGUGGUGGCGGCGGCAGCGGGCGAGGCGGCGUGGUGACGGGCGGCAGCGGGUGAGGUGGCGUGGUGGCCAGCGUGGCGGCCGGUGGCGGCGUGGUGGUCGUGGCCGGCGGCCAGUGUUUUUGUUUUUUUUUAUUUUUUCCGAAAAUGUUUGCCGAGUGCUUUUUGACACUCGGUGAACCAUUUGCCGAGUGCCCGACGUUCGACACUCGGCAACUCCACUGUUUGCCGAAGGGAAGUUCGCCGAGUGUGGUUCGCCGAGUGUUACACUCGGCAAACUCUUUGCCGAAUGUUUUUAGGCCUUCGCCGAGUGCCUGGGGCACUCAGCAAACUUCCUGUUUCCGGUAGUGUACAAGCUGCAGAAGGGGGUGAUGGGAGAGAUCAGGUUCCUCCAAGCUGAGCUCGAGAGCAUGAAGGGUGCUCUUGAGAAAGUCUCCAACACACCGGCUCACCAGCUUGACAUUCGGGACAUCAAUGACACUAUACAAGGGCUUGCUCUAUCAAACUAUACAAGGGCUUGCUCUAUGAUCUAAGCAAGAACAUCAAUGACGAAGUAUUAGAUGAGAGCAUUUGUGGUACCUAUGAAGUUUCUUUUGACACCGAUAAUUACACUCUCCAUUCGUAAUACUAAGUCUAAAUAUGGUUCAUUAAAUCUUCAUGCGCGUCCCUUGUUAACUGACAAAACACAGCCACUUCAUCUUUAUCACAUCAUUAUUAACUGAAAAUAAUAUGGCAGCAUCUAAAGUCUUUGUUUUGUCAAAGAUUCUGAGUAGACUUAUUUUGUGUAGAAACUCGAUAAUCUAGCUGCUUCCUAACUAUUUUAGUUUAAUCAUUAAAUCACUAUUGUCUGGUCUUCCUAUUACUAAUUGGAGGCUCCUUUUGAAUUUUGAAACCUCCAGGUGAAGCCACCUGGGAUUUCUAGGUGGACACUCUAGAAAAAAAGAGAAAUUCUAGAAAUUUUCAAAAAAAAAGCAAAACAUCCGACCAUCAAUAGAUUCAAAUCAUCAUAGCUAUUGAAUCUAUUAUAUUUUUUAAAAAAAUUACCCACCUAUGCUAUUAUGAAAAUAGCCUAAAGUAACCUCCUAAAUCUAUAUAUAAAUUACGCACAUCUACCAUUAUAUAAAAUAAACUAAAUUAACCCCCCUAAUCCUCAUCAAAAUUACCCACUUAUGCCAUUAUAAACAAUAUUUAAAAUAACCCCUAAUUUACAACUGAAUUGCCUACCACUGUUACUUAAAAAACUUAAAGUAACCCCUUAAAUUUGCAUCUAUAUUACCCACGCAUACUAUUAUUAAAAAUAACAUGAGGUAACCCUAUGUUUGAAUCAAAUAGCCUUAAUUAAAAAUAUACAGCAAUAUAUGACUCUAAAUCGUCUAUAUCUUGCACUAUUGGUAUAUGAUAUAAUAAUUAAGGUCUAUACGCAGAUGCGUGUCACCAUUUAUAAGGAUAUAAAGUGAUGGGAAUAUAGAUUUCUAUGCUAAAAUUGUAUCUCAAACUUAGGAUUCAUUAAACAAAUUCAAGCGCAUACCUGUGAUCCAAAAUGAAAAGUUAAAGGUUAUAAAUGUAGAUGAAAAUAUUAUAGAGUAAUUACUAACUAAAAUCUAUUCAAUUGGAUAAAGAUAUUAAGUAUAAUAAGUAUUGUAUUUGAAUAUGUAACAAACAAGAGGUAGCUUAUGGUAAUAGUUUUGUAGUAAUGUAGUCUUAUUUUUUUUCACCGGAGAUUCCGCAUUAGUUCCCACGAGACAAGCUAGAAAAAAGAGAGAAAUUCUCAUAAAAAUUAAAAACAUCAAAACCAAUCCUGUAAACUCUAAUAAUCAUAGCCAUUGAUCUAUUAUAUUUUCUAAAAAGUUACCCGCUACUGUCAUGGUGAAAAUAUUCAAAAAUGAGCUCUAAACCUAUAUCUAAAUUACCGAGCUCAGCUAUUAUAAAAAUAAUCUAAAGUAACCCUAUAAUCUUCAUCCAAUUUACUAAUGCACAUCAUUAUAAAAUCAUAACUUAAAAUGUCAUUCUAAAAUUUUAUCUAUAUUACCCACGUACAUCGAUAUUAAAAAUAACCUAAAGUAAAUACCUAAAUAUUAAUCUAAUUAUUUUCAUGUACAUCAUACAUAAAUGUUAAAAAGUAAACUAAUAUAUGAUUCUAAAUUACCUAUUUAUUUCAUUGUUAAUAUAAAAAUAUAAAGUUAAAGUAUAUACACAUGAUGAGUACCACCAUUAUAGACCAUUUAUACAUGUAUGUGAGGAAUCGAUGAAAAAUAUUGAUUUGUAUGCUAAACAUAAUGUAUGGAGGAUUGGAGGUGUGAUACAAAAUGGAAAAAGUAUGAAUAUGGAUAAAAAAGUGCAUAGAGUAAUUAUUAAUUAAAAAUCAAACAUAAUUGGACAAAGAUAGGUACAUAUCUAUAUGAUUAUAAUGUUGAAGUAUUGGAAAAAUAAGAGAGUAGUAGGUAAAUAAUUUUGAUUAUUAGCUAAGAGUUUAAUUUCUAAAUAAUUUUUAUAUACAAUACUUUCUUAAAAAUAUUAGCCCAUGCGGGAGCACGAGUUGAUGGACUAGUUUUUUACUAGUUAGAGUGUCGCUCCUGUCACGGUACGCGCCGAAGACUUGACUUUGACUAGUAAGUCAACAGAAUGCCAGAUUGCCAGUCCCAACUUAGCCUGGCAGGUUGAAUUCGCAGGGUUCGAUCCCCUUGGCCUUGGGUUAUCGCUCGCCGUCUGGCAGAAGCCCAUGCCGGAGCAGGAGCCGUCCACUAACUCCAACAGCUUCCUGGACGUCGAGACGCACACACGCUCUUGUACCGCGUGCCAUUGGGGUCGAGGAUUAUGCCCAGCGUGUUGCAGCCGACAAUGACGAACUUGUUGUGGACAUAGGAGAAGUGUACUUUAAUGUACCAGAAACUGCCCUUUCUGUACCAUGUGCGUGCAGAUAUGACGAACAAGUCAGUACUAUGAAGGAGUAACCGUCCACAACAAACCAGAUCAUAAAUAAAAAAUUUAGAGAAACUACGACUUGAGUAGUAAUGCAUUUGGUGAGUUUAUGUGGAAAGUUAUGAGAAUUGUUUUCGUAACAAUUCACCGGAUGUUGCGACUUUGAAUGCUUCGCGAAAAGUGACAAAUAAAGCUGGGAGUCGGAUGCGGUCGCCACUCUCCAGAUGAUAUCGUGUGGUUUGAUGGCGUUCUCCUUAACUUCAUGGGAGAUUCAUCAUUCUUGGAAGAAACCCCCUCAAGAUCACAAUUUGAAAUCCGGCUGCGACACCACAUGACGAAAUACCUGAUGAAGGAGGGGGCCGGCGCCCCACCACACUGUUGCAUUAUAUUGUAGUUGUAGGCACGCUGCGGCCUUCCGCUGUCCGUAAAUGCGGUACGUCUUGGGCUGUUUUGGACUCUCCAAACGUGGCACGGCAUGGUUUGCCCACUCGCUAAACGACCAGAUCAGACAACAGGGUACGGCAACGCGGCGGGGCGGGGCGGGACGACGGCAAUUCCCCUUGCCCCUCCCGCCUGCGUGUCUCGACUCCCGUCCUGGUACGCCGUGGUGGGCAGAGAUUUAGCAGACUGGCAGCCAACGCAAUUGGGCACGUUCCUUCACGGCAAGGCGUGAUUCGCAUGGCCGCAACUAGCAAGCUAGUCUGGCGCGCGCGCACGUAGCCGUAGCCGUUCUGCGCUGCAGUAAGCUUCCGAUGGCAAUUGGCAACGGCGACAGUUCGACGGGUAUGGCUUUGCUGCAGAGUGUCCAAACUCCAUACACUGAGGAUCGAGGAGCAAAAGCCAGCGCAGAGAUUUCAAUGCUUAAUGGCCUAUUGUAAUCAUAUUUCUUCUUCUUCUUCUUAUAUCUAUAGCAUAUCUCUUGCCGUCCGGUUAAGCAAAAUAAAGAGAGAUUAAGGAGCAACUCCAGGUGUUGUGAGCGAGAUGGAUGCCGUUGUCACCCGAUCUAAUGAGGCCGUGCCUCCAUCCCUCAGUGCCCGUACCUGCCUGAGUCAUGUGGAAUCCAAAAGGCCUGCAGGGCCGAGAGAUCUUUGGAGCCCAUGGUUAUCACCACUCCAUGCUUCCAGUACGUUAUUACAGCAAGGGUAGCACUCAUGUGUUUUUCGUUAAUAGUAAACAGCAGACCACAUAUGCAGACAUGUGCAUUGAAACAGAGUGCAUAUACAGAGAGGCAGAGCUUUGUAGUGUAUAUAUAUUGUACCAUACGCAAGUAGAUAGCAGACCAGCUACUAGCUCGCAAAUGCCCUAGCAUGCAGAAGUUUUAAGGAACUACAGUGCACUAGGACAUAUGCUUUGAUCACCUGGCGUAGUACGAACUUCCUGGGUUCAUGGGCAGGCUCUCACCUUCUUGUGUAGGAUAACCAAUACUAGUGGCACCUUCUAUUUCAAAGCUAGCAGUCGACGCUCCACCGAGAAGACUCUGAGCCUCCAUCUCAACAUCGACUUGUACCCAAGGAUGCAGUGAAAGCUUCCUCAAUCUGCCGAGCUCAUCGGCGAUCUCCUUCAUCGAUGGUCUGUUGCUGCCACACAUGUCCAGGCAUUGCUUGGCUAGCUCCGCAAGGCCUCUGAUCAAUUCAUUGUUCUCUUGUCCCUUUACAUGGCUCGGCAAGAUCGCAUCAAGGUUGUUCUCCUUCAUAGCGGACAAGAAAUUUGACGACAGACUUCUUUCCGUCUCAGGCCCAUCCAACUUCAGAGGCUCUUGGCCAGUGAGUACCUCUAGAAGGAUAACACCAAAGCUAAAGACGUCGCUUUUCUCUGUCAAUUGGCAUGUCAGCAUGUAUUCAGGGUCGAGGUAGCCACAGGUACCUUGAACCAUUGUGACAUACUGCUCUUUAUCUGAUGGGGCUAGUAUGGAGGCUCCAAAAUCUGACACUUUUGCCAUGUAGUUUUCAUCUAAAAGAAUAUUGGCAGUCUUCACAUCACCAUGGAUAAUUGGGGGAGAUGCGUAUGAGUGUAGGAAAUUGAGACCUUCAGCUGCUUCAUGAGCAAUCCUUAAUAAAGUGCUGAAAGAGAUUUGUAAUGCUUGGUUCUUGCCAUGGAUAAGUUCAAACAGUGUGCCUUUUGGGAUGAAUUCAUAGACCAACAUUGGAACUUCCACCUCAAGGCAACAACCCACUAGUUUGACAAUGUUCUUGUGGUUGAUCUGGGAGAGUAUUAGCAUUUCUUGUCCAAAUUCCUUCUUUUGUCUUUCAUCAAUAAGUGCACAUCGCUUAAUCGCAACAGGCAUGUUGCCCUUAACUAUCCCUUUGUAGACUGUUCCAUGGCCUCCUUUUCCAAUUAUUCUGCUCUUGUCGUAGUUGUUUGUGGCUUGUAUCAGUUCAGCUUCGCUAAACACCGUGAAAGCAAGACCUUUUUCUGAUCUCAUCCUCUCAAACAGAAUCAUGCCCCCAUGUUCUCGAAAAUGUUCUUGCCUAACUUGGUUCAGCUUUCUCUUUUGAAGAAUCAUGUAUCCGAAGGAGGAGAAAAUCACGAGAACAAGAGAGCCGACUGCAACUCCUGCAUAAAAGCAUCGAAUAAGAGCAUAUUGUCAGAAAACGUGCUUUCCUUCUUAUAUAUAUUGCCAUGUGGCAUUUCUCAAAUAUAUUGGUCCAGCAAGCUGAUCUCGGCGUCCUACCUAUUAUUAAGCCAGUAUCAGGGUCGCAUGUGGUUCUUUGCCUGUUAAACUUCCUUCCUGCUCGACAAGAACACCGGUAGCCUCCUUCCGUGUUGUGGCAAACACCGCCUGAAGGGCAUGGGCGGCUACUACACUCAUCAACGUCUGCAGUAAGAUGAGCAAAACCAAGAACGAUAAAUACAAGUUUAGAGAUUGAAUAUUGUUCAAAGAUAUUGUUAGUCAUCUUAGCAUACUCGUUACCUUGGCAUCCACCUUGAAGAUACGGGUUGCCUUGGUACCCUUUGGAGCAGUUGCACAGGUACCCUAGCCCGUUGGCUGAAUCCACGCACCCGCUGUUGGUGCUGAGGCAUGCGUAAGUGCCCGUGGCGACCUCACAUGUCGUCUUGUUACUUAUCGCCCAGUCCAUCACCACUGGUGCUCGCCCAAUUCUUGUGUCAUUGAACGUGGUCGUGCUGAUGUACUUGGUGCUGAAAUUGAACGCCUCCGCCUCCAUCAGCACGGCGUAGCUGCAAGGGCUGAACCUCUGAACUUUGCUUGUGUUGAAACCGCGACUGAACAAGACCUCGUAAUAGCCCAUAUUCCUAGGUAUGGCUGUCUGGCAGCAGCCAAUUCCGGAGCAGGGUCCGUCCGCUAGGUCUGACAGAUUCCGGCAAGUUGAGACACACCCACUUAGGUAACCGGUGCUGGUGUUGUCGUAGAUAUAGGCGAGGGUGUUGCAGCCAAUGACGGUGAACUUAUUGUGGACGUCUGAGAAUCGGAAUGGGCCACCUCUUAUGUCGAGCCACCAACGAUUAUCCUCCAUCUGACCGGAGGAGUUGUUGUAGCAGUAUGUUGAGAUUUGGUUGAGCACCCUGAUCGUGCCUUGAGCCAAGGAAAUGUUGAGCACCUCCACGAAACCGAGGAAUGGCUUGUAGACACCAUCGUGGAUCUGGCAGCUGACGUUGAAGCUGCUUGACAGCGAGCAAUUGUCACCGAUGCCGAACGGGUACGGAAUCUCAACACCGCCACACUGCGUUUGGCAUUGAGAGCUAGGAACCGCAAGAGCGGGGUCGUGCUUUGCUGCCAACAGAAGUAGAAAACCAAGACCAAGCUGCAGAAAGCGCACUUCCAUAUAUACUCCUUGGCUGGAUAACUAGAAAGUAGAAAUCAUGAUGUUGCGAAGGUAAGAUAAAUCAGUGGAUGCACCGUAUACCUAAUAAGUUCUGCUUUGUGUACUACAUGUACUAAAAGAAAAUUCCCAUUAUGCACGCUUAAAAAAUUAUUGAUAAAAAUCUUCACACAUGCAGACAUGCUCCGUGAAAAGAAACAAAAAGAUAGCUGAAAAGGUACUAAUGGGUUAUGGAACCCCCAAUAUCUUCAAGUCGAAGAAUAUUAGGUUUCAUGGUCAAAGGAAUAUAAUGUUAGGUAAGGACAAGACAAUUCCAACAAAUCGAUCUCUCGCUAAUUAAAAAACCGUGAAGUAUCUCUCAUGCAUAAUCAGCAUGUAAGGCCGGAUUGGUUUGACUUGCUCAAGGAAAUGCUAGUAAAGCAUGGUUUUGCAAAGCAGUCAUGGUAAUUUAAAGACGGUUUAGUGUCUUGCAUUGGGAAUAUACGAGCGUUCAUCUUAUUGGCGUAGCAUCUAAAAGAAUCUAAAAUCAACCUCUUCACAUGCAGAUAAAAGAACUAAAAGGGAAGAGGGCUGAUAAACUAAACUGUUGAUGAGGAUAAACUUAGUAGAAGAAUCAGCAUGAAAUAGCAAGGGAGUACAGCUUUCAUCGAAUUAGUAUAUGUACCUUAGCUUUGAGGAGAGGUUUUUGAGCCUAUCUUCCCCGGAACGCCGAGAGUCGCCAACGUAGAGAACUGAUUGACUGAACCUUUGGAGAUUGCUUCGGUUAUUUGUUCUAACAAGAGCAGACAACCCUAUGUGCGUUGGAGUAUAUAGGAAGUGCACAUCCACAUCACUGUACGGGUCGUCGGGAAUGAGUCAAGACACAGUGCACAACAGAGACCAAGUCGUGGCAGACAGUGCCUGCAAUUUUUUCCGGCCUCAAGUACCCACCAGCGAGAACGCAUCAUCAACAGAUAAUGACAUAGUUAGACUUUGAAAUUAAUCUUUUUCGGUGGAUAAAAUUGUUGAGGAGGAUAACUACUAAUGCAAAAACUUAGCUUCUCAUUUUUCAGAUAAAAGGAAGACAUAAUUUUAGCCUCUCUCAUUUUGUGAUGACCUAAACACAAGCCAGCCGCCCAUCUCUCUCUCGCGCGCGCGCUGCCACACACAGGAUUCCAGGAGAAGUGGAGAAAUGGUAUAAAUUAUUCUAAUUUUUGCCUGAAUUCUGAAAGAACUCACGAUUCAAACGAUCUUGGGAAUGUUUUCUGCCUUUUGCCGGACGCCCGGACUCUUGCUUCAGCUGAAUAAUCCAUCUUGGAGUGGUAAGGUAACCUAUAUUGCAAUUAAGUUUGAAAUGACAAAAUUGGAACCUUCUUUGCUACGAGGGUGAGAAAUUGGAAACAGACACCGAUGGUCAUGCAAGGCGACAGUGUAACACGUGUGGUGAAUUUUUAACGCUGUUCUAUACUUCUAUCUCUUGGAAAAACGAAACUUCCUCGUAGAAACUUAUCUCGCGUCAACGUACGUGGUCGUCGCGAGUCAGUCAACGCACAGCAGCGAUUGAGUCUAAAGAAACUUUUGUUUCAAAAAAAAAAACAGGGCCUUCAAAUACGUCCUCCAGUACUUUGUCUUAACAAAGAUAAAUCUUGGAAAAAAAACAAAGAAUACGUCCUAGCGUGUAAAAACGAUGUCGUGCAGUGGUAAGCUUAUUAUUCCUACCACACAAGCCACUGCAAGUUGAAAAAUGAUAAUAUUGGGGUCUUCUUUGCUCUGAGCUAGGGUGACGGUGCUGGAAAUUGGAAUCAGUCACCGAUCGCCAUGCAAGGCGACAUUGAGAUCUUCUUUGCUCUGAGGGUGAAAUUGGAAACAGUCACCGAUUCCAUGCAAGGCGACAGCGUAACGUGUGGUGCAUUUUUAACCGUGUUCCAUACUUCUACCUCUUGGAAAAAUGAAACUUACUCGUAGAACAAAACCACUACUGGAAAAAUGACGUCCAGUACCGAUUAGUAACCCCCUCUAGUACCGAAUGUGCAACCGGUACUGGCAAUCCGGUACUAGAGGGGGUCCUUUAGUACCGGUUAAAAUACCCGGUACUAAACCCUUUAGUACCGGUUAGGGGUACUAGCCGGUACUAAAGGGAUUCCCACGCCACGUGGGGAGGUGGCCUUAUUAGUAUUGGUUGGUAUCCUCAACCGGUACUAAGUUUUUUCUCCUUUUUUUCUUCUUUCUGUUCCUUUAGUCUAUAUUCAUAUUUCGUAUUUGUUUCCUUUACAUAUAGUUAUUCUAAUAUGCUAAUUUAUGGUGGGUUCUAUUUAGAUUUAAUAUAAUAUUUAAAAUAAUCUUAUAUAUAUACAUAUUGUGUAUACACAUAUGAAUAAUAUUACAAUUGAAACUUAAUAAAAAUUUGGCACUAGACUAGAUCCUGAACUAUGGAACUCCCCCGCAGGAUUUGUGACCUCAUCCAAAAGAAAUCUGAUCUUGUAUUUCCCUGAAAAAUUCGGUGUGGUCUAGUUCUUCCUUCCUGUUCCUCUCUUCUUGUUUAUCAUUUGCAAAUGAAUUAGAAAUACUUAAUCUAAAGUUAAAGUAUAUUAACUUUUUUUAAGUAUAAGCAUAUUAAUUUUGUAUACGUACAAUUAUUUGGUGUUCGAUGGUAUGCAUCAGAUCCACAAAUUCGUGGAUGAAGUUACAAACAUAGUAUCCGCAAUAAUGAGUACCCUCCUGCUGUCUCAAAAACUAUAUAUACGGAAAAAAAAGUUAUGAAAUAUUUGUUAUGCUAAAGGAAGUGUCACGAGAUUUGAAAAUUGAACACACACCGGGAAAUCUAUAUGCAAAACAAGUUUCUUGUUGUAAUCACACUUGUGAGUUUUAAGAAAUUGAGUCCAGCAUUUGUUCAGAGUGCCCAUGAGGUUAUUGAAAAAUUUUUUGGGUUUCCUCAAGGAGUCUCAGAUAGUCACUAAGCUCUGAUCGGGGAUAAUAAUAAUGAGUACCCAAUGGUACCUGUAGAUCCAAAUUGAAGGUAGUUAGUAUUAUGUGUAAGUGCUAGUUUGGAAAAGAAAGAGAUGGGAAAAACGCUCACUCAAAGUGCCAAGGUAUUAAUAUACAGCUCUUCUCCCAGUGCCAAGGUACUUUUGCCUUUUGCUUUUCUUGCGACCAACCUGCCCUUGACUUGACCUCGAGCAUCAAUUAUUAAUUGCCUUUCCCUUCCCCUGCAUCCGCAUCCCAUCGACCUCUGCUUCGUGCUGUUCCAAUCCAAGGCAGUUGCGAGCGGUGAGCUCCGGCGAUGAGCGGCGGGCAGCGCGAUCUGGCAAACCAGCGAGUCCUAAGCCCCGGCGACAAGGAGAGGGCGGCCGGUGAGUCCUCGCUCACUUCCGUUCUUUGUGCCCGUCUGCAGACCUCCGAGAGCACUAGGCACUCGACAGCACUAUAAUUCAUCGUCACACGCCCCUGCUUGCUACACCUAUACCCAUAGCGUACAACCUUACUAAUUGCUCUGCCCAGGGACAAAUCCAUGGAGAUCGUGACAGGGGCAAUUCCAAGCCUCCUCGACAAGCUUGGUGAGUUGCUAGUUGGCGAGUACAAUCUGCAAAAUGAGGUGAAGGGAGGGAUCAUCUUCCUCCAAGAUGAGCUCAAGAGCAUGCAAGGUGCCCUCGAAAAGAUCUCGAGGACACCAGCAGAUAAGAUUGACAACCAGGACAAGAUCUGGGCUAGGGAAAUGAGAGAGAUGUCCUACGAUAUAGAGGACAAUAUUGACACAUAUAUCGUGCAGUGCAAGGGGAGGAAGAGGAAGACGGACGAACAACAUAGCUUCAAGGAAGCCAUUGAUAGGAUCCUCGAAUGGUUAUGGCAGCCUAUGAUUCGUCGUAAGAUUGCUACAGAAAUCAGAGAGAUCAAGAGCCGUGUCAUCGAGGUGCAUAAACGGCGCCGCAUGUAUGAGGUCAGCCUUGGUGUUGAUAAGCCUGUAACUGUGGACCCUCGUUUAUUCGCUCAGUACACGGAGGUGAAAGAGCUUGUUGGCAUUGAUGAGGCAAGGGAUGAGUUAAUCAAUAAGAUUUUGAUAGAAGGGAAUGAAGUUCCCUUGAAGCAAGGCAGGAUAGUUUCAAUUGUUGGAUUUGGAGGCCUGGGAAAGACAACUCUUGCCAAUGCAGUGUACAAAAAGAUUAGAGCACAAUUUGAUUGCUAUGCUUUUGUUUCUGUUUCUCAAAUUCCUAACCUGAAGAAACUGUACAAGGGCUUGCUAUAUGAUCUUGGGAAGAGCAUCAACGAAGAAACAUUGGAUGAGAGGCGACUCAUAGAAGUACUCAGAGAAUUCCUUGAAGACAAAAGGUAAGAAAGCAUUCCUUUGGCCAAUUUAUACAUAUGAACCUUUUUUGGACUGAUAAUUUAUGCCUCUGUUCACAAUACUAUAAGUCUGCAUAGGGUUAAUUAAAUGUUCAUGCACGUGGCCACAACCACUUAAGCAUUACCACAACAUUAUUAAGUGCAAAUAAUUUCCUCACUGGACCUCGAUUUGUUUUGACAAAAUUCUGAGUGGACUUAUUUUAUCCACGGACUUGCCAAUCCACCUGCUCCCGAGCUAUUUUAGUUUAAUCAUUAAACCAUUAGCAGUGGUCUGAUUUGCUUAAUUUUCUUGUAGCUGGUAUAUGAACAACAUUAGAGCUUUAUUCAGUCCUUAAACCACUAUUUUUGGCUAAUAACUUGGCAUACGUGUAGGUAUUUUGUUGUUGUUGAUGAUGUAUGGGAUUUAUCAGUUUGGAAAAUGAUUAGAUGUGCUUUGCCUGAUAAUGAUGUUGGAUACACUAUUAUUACAACCACCCGUAUUUCUCAUGUUGCUGAACAAGCUGGGGGUGCUUACAACAUGAAACCUCUUUCUUUGAAUAACUCCCGAAAACUACUGUAUAGAAGAAUAUUUGGUAAUGGGAACAAAGAGAACAAUGAAGAAGAAGAAAAAUGUCACGACGAGCUGGUCGAAGUAUCUGACAGAAUAUUGAACAAAUGUGCUGGUGUGCCAUUAGCUAUAAUUACGAUGGCUAGUUUGCUGGAUUGCAAAGCAAGAGAUAAAAUGGAGUGGUAUGAUGUGUGCAAUUCUAUUGGUACUGGUCUGGAAAACAAUCUAGAUGUGGAGAAUAUGAGAAAGAUUUUGUCAUUUAGCUAUUAUGAGCUACCAUGCCAUUUAAGGGCUUGCUUGUUAUAUUUGAGCAUGUUUCCUGAAGAUUAUGAAAUUAAGAAGGAUCGUUUGAUAAGGAUGUGGAUAGGUGAGGGUUUUAUCCAAUGUGAAAAAGCAGGGAAGAGCCUAUUUGAACUCGGAGAGAGUUACUUCAAUGAGCUUAUAAAUAGAAGCAUGAUCCAACCAGUAUAUGAUUUUGAUGACAUAAUAAUACAAGGUUGUCGUGUACAUGAUAUGGUGCUUGAUCUUAUCCGCUCCUUAUCAAGUGAAGAAAACUUUGUUACUAUACUAAGUAAUAUGGGAGGCACAUCUCCGCCAAAUACAAUUCGGAGGUUGUCCCUUCAGAAUGGCCAGGAAAGUCAUGUGAUGGCUCAAGCUACAUGGAGCUUGCAACAUGCAAGGUCAGUUGUUGUCUUUCCAGCUGCUGCUUUUCUAGUGCCGCCUCUUGACUGCUGCCGAGUUUUACGUGUUCUGGAUUUAGAGGACUGUAAUCUUUCACAAGCUAAUAGUAGCCUUAAGUACCUUGGGAAUAUACAUCACUUGAGGUACUUGGGACUUCGUCAGACAGGUAUUUCUCAGCUCCCGGAAGAAAUAGAAAACCUGCAUCUUCUACAAACAUUGGAUGUGAGCCACAAUAAAUUUCUCAUGUUGCCUUCGAGUGUUGUCCAGCUAAGAAAGUUGAUGUGCCUAUACAUUGACGGAUUUAUAACUGCACCGGACGGAAUUCGAAACUUGACAUGCCUUGAACAGCUGUUAGGGUUAUGCAUUGAUCCCUGCACUAGAAACGUUAUAGAAGAGUUGGGCCAGCUAACUGAACUGAGGCAGCUGUCCAUUGAUUUGGACGAGUGGAACGACAAGCUGUUGGAGUGCCUAUGCAAGCUACAAAAGAUGCAGGAACUAGCUAUCGGCAAUAGGGGUCAACGCAGCAUCGGCGGAUUGGAUGCCUGGGUCGCCCCUCGACAUCUCCGCAUAUUGGAUACACGAAACAGCUGUUGGUUUUCAACACUUCCGGCUUGGGUGAAUCCAUCGCUUCUUCUGGACCUCACCAAUCUAAAGAUCGCCAUGAGGGAGCUACGUCAGGUUGAUCUCGAAAUCCUCGGGAGGUUGCCAGCUCUCCGCUAUCUAGACCUGCUGGUGGACAAUAAGAACCUCAAUAUCCUUGCGGGAUUCGUUGUAGGUGCUGGUGCAUUCCCGUGCCUUGUAAACUGUUACUUCACGAAUUUUGUGUGGCCAGUGGUAUUUCAGCAUGGAGCAAUGCCAAGGCUCAGAGGCCUUGAGUUCUGGUGGUUUUAUCUGCGGGAGGUAAGAGGAAUUGCCUGCAAUGAUGGUAGUCUCGACUUGGGCCUGGGAAACCUGCCAGCGCUGCAGAACGUCUAUGUUGACCUGCAACGUGAUGGUGCUAGCAAGGAGGAGGCAGAGCAAGCCAAGGCUGCGCUGAGGCAUGCAGCUGAAAUGCAUCCCAAUCGUCCCUCACAUUUGAUCGAUAUUAUAGGUGCGCCAGCUCCUGAAUGUUAUUCCUUACUUGUCUCCUUCCCCCUUUCUUGUAAACUGCAUUUGCAUUUAUUCCUCUGUUUGAGAUGGUGGGAUCUCCGGGUGAUCUUUCACCACGCCUUUCUUCUAGCCCCUUUGCCUCAAUUCGUCUAAUCUUCAUUUGGUAUAUUUCGGUCUGAUAUACAGAUGACGAGUAAUAUAAGAGUUUACGCCGGAAGCUGGAGCAGAGCAGAUGACAAAGUCCUUCUGUUUCGCCACGCAUGCAGAGGUUAAACUGCUCGGCCACGAGCUUUACCAGACACCCUCAGACUCAGAGCAUGCGUCUGAGACUGAGAGCUUUGAUCGUUUCUGCUGUGCAUUUCGUCGCGAGAGUGUAGGAUGACAUUGUCAGUGGAUAUGAUUGUAAUCCCUGACUAACUUACCCCUCUCUACUCAUAUUACCGUUUAUUAUAGUCAUUGCAAAGGGACUGAGCUGUCUCCUGCGCCCCUGACCUAGUUGCCUUGUAUCGUCUCAGUGGUUCAGGGCUUUGGCUGUUUUUGGGUUAAUGUUGCAGCUUGUGAGCGUAAUCAUCUUGUGAGCCGUAAGCAUGGACGGCAGUAUGUAUUCAGUUGAUCGACCGUACUUGCAGACAUUUGAUUUGUUCAUUAUUCAGUUGCUAAAUCAUACGGAUCAAGGCAUCAAGAAGUCCAUGGUAACAUUUGUAGAUGCAGGAUUGGGCCGCAGCAGCAGUAGACGAGCCCGCUGUCCGGGUUGAAACCCAAGUACUUGCACCUUCAUACAGAUUAUCUUUUUCCGGAUGCUACUGGACGGCGCUGCCAUCAGCUGACAAUGCAGCAGCGGCGAUGAGCAGAGGCAUCAGCGGUGGCACAGUGAUGGCGAAGACGAAAAUAUAGAUAAAAAUAGAGAGAUAGAUAUGGAUACAUAUAGACAUAGAUUUUAAGGACCUUGAUCCUCGAAACAUAUUUUACUCUCUUAAUUGACCAAGUUCUGUGCGUUAGAAUUAGGAAUUAAUUGAAAAAUGCAAAGGCAAUACACGGUACAUGGUUCAUGCGGGAGUACGGGUUGAUGGACUAGUGAAAUCUAGAUUACAUGGUAAGAAGGGAUAGUGUGAUUGGGAGGAUGUCCUUUCGAUCCUUGAAAACUUGUUACACGUAUAUUUUGUGCAAAUAGUGUGUGACUUGUAAUUUGCGACUCGCAACAACUUGGGUAGAUCGGGGAUUACAUCCAGAUUUACGGAUUUUUUUCUUGCUAUCUUUUGGUUCUACUAUCUCACUGGCUCUUAUUGCAAGUCGGAAAGGAUACUAGCAUCUCUAUGGCCAUGCAACAACGGCACGAUACCGCCGGCUUGAAAAUAGAUACGGAUGAGCAUAUUUGUCUUUGCUCCUUUUAUUUGCCACUUCCUGGCGUCAUGCGACUUCUACAGUCAACUAUAGCCCCUUUUGGACUUGUCUUGCCUUCGCUUAUUCUCUUCUCCAUCCAUUUGGUCUGUUUCUACUAGUGAUAUUCCAUUCAAUACUAUCUUGAUUUACUAAAUCUUUAAUAGCCCUCUAGUUAGCAUAGCUUAAUUAAACAUUCUAUAGGAGAAAAAACUAACUUAUUAUAAAGUUUAAUUUGCUAGUAACAUGGCUUUCUUGAAUUAUCUGGUACAGGUACUUCAUUCUUAUUGAUGACAUAUGGAAACUCUCAGACUUCAAAAUGAUUAAACGUGCUUUGCUUGGUAAUAAUGCUGGAAACAAAAUAAUCACAACUACUCGUAUUCUCAAUAUUGCUGAACAAGCUGGCCGUGCUUACAAGUUGCAACCCAUUUCUCUGAACAACUCUCGGAAACUAUUUUUGAGAAGAAUAUUUGGUAAUGACAACAAAGACAACAAUGAAGAAGAAGAAAGAUGUUCUAACGAUGAGUUGGCCGAAGUAUCUGACAAAAUACUAAAGAAAUGUACUGGUGUGUCAUUAGCUAUAAUUACGAUGGCUAGUUUGCUAGCUUGCAAAGCAAGAGAUAAAAUUGAGUGAUAUGAGGUGUGCAAUUCUGUUGGUACUGGUCUGGAAAACAAUCUAGAUGUGGAGAAUAUGAGAAAGAUUUUGUCAUUUAGCUAUUAUGAGCUACCAUGCCAUUUACGGACUUGCUUGUUAUAUUUGAGCAUGUUUCCUGAAGAUUAUGAAAUUAAGAAGGAUCGUUUGAUAAGGAUGUGGAUAGGUAAAGGUUUUAUCUAAUGUGAAAAAGGAGGGAAGAGCUUAUUUGAACUCUUAGAGAGUUAUUUCAAUGAGCUUAUAAACAGAAGCAUGAUCCAAUCAAUACAUGAUAAUUCAAAUAAUAUGAUAUGGUCCUAUCAUGUGCAUGAUAUGGUGAUUGAUCUUAUCCGCUCCUUAUCAAGUGAAGAAAACUUUGUUACUGUACUAAGUAAUAUGGGAGACACAUCUCCGUCAAAUACGAUUCGGAGGUUGUCCCUUCAGAAUGGUUAGGAAAGUCAUGUGAUGGCUCAAGCUACUUUCACCAUGCAACAUGCAAGGUUAGUUGUUGUCUUUCCAGCUGCAGCUUCUCUAGUGCCACCUCUUGCCUGCUGCCGAGUUUUACAGGUUCUGGAUUUAGAGUACUGCAAUCUUUCACAAGCUAAUAGUAUCCUUAAGUACCUUGGGAAUAUACAUCACUUGAGGUACUUGGGACUAUGUAAGACAGGUAUUUCUCAGCUCCCGGAAGAAAUAGAAAACUUGUAGUUUCCAGGUUGCCUUCGAGUGUUGUCCAGCUAAAGUUGAUGUGCCUGUACAUUGACGAGUUUACGAGAGUGCCAAACGGAAUUGGAAACCUAACAUGCCUUGAACAGCUGUCAUUGUUACGCAUUAAUGACUCUGCCAUAAACAUUAUAGAAGAGUUGGGCCAGCUAAGUGAACUGAGGCAACUGUUCUUUGGAUUGUACGAGUGGAACAACAAGCUAUUGGAGUGUCUAUGCAAACUACAAAAAAUGCAGGAACUAUUUAUCGGCGGUCCUGUUCAACACAGCAUCGGCGGAUUUGGUUCCUUGGUCGCCCCUCGACAUCUCCGCAUGUUGAGUAUACGAGACAUCUGUUGGUUUUCAACACUCACUGGUAGAGAACUCGGUAUUAGUCCCGGUCGGUAGGGUGCAAAUCUCCCGAAAAUCCAUCCGGGAUAAACCAACCGAGACAAAAGGGGGUCUUUUGUCCCGGGUCACUCAACCGGGACUAAAGACCCCCUUUUAUCCCAGUUGGUAAUACUAACCGGGAUAAAACAUGUCACCACGCCAGGCGCUGCAAAACAAAAAAGAAAUCCCAGGAGGCCCCUCCACAUCGCAAGUCACAAGUCACACGAUUUUUCACGCAAAAUAUGCGCGUGCGCACUGCGUGGGAUUCGAACCCACGACCUCCAACCUUGCAUGUAGCUUCCUUGCCAUCCCACCUACACAACACAUCUAACUAUAUAGGGGAUGUAAUCCUUUUAUAUUAACUCGUGGGGGACCCUUUUAUUCCGGUUGGAAACACCAACCGGGAUAAAAGACCCCCUUUAUCCCGGUUGGUAUUACAAACUGGGAUAAAAGGGUUCGAGGGAUUUACUCCUCUUUCAGUCACCCCGUUGGGGAUCCUUUUAUCCCAGUUUGAAACACCAACCGGGAUAAAGACCCCAUUGCGUUUUAUCCCGCUUUGCAAUACCAACCGGGAUAAAAGGGGGUCUUUUAUCCCGGUUGGUGAAAGGGGUCUUUUAUCCCGGUUGGUUUUUCAAACCGGGAUAAAAGGUCUCUCAAGAUCUUUUUUUCCACUAGCCUUUGCAACCGGGAUAAAAGAUCCCGCUUGGUGAGCCCCCGCCAGUGACCGAGCUUUAGUCCCGGUUGGUGAACCUUUUGUCCCGAGCCAACUUUAAACCGGGAUAAAAUGGGACGCAUGGAAGGUGAGUUCUCUACUAGUGAGAGCCAGCUUGGUGAAUCCAUCGCUUCUUCUAGACCUCACCGUGCUAUGCAUCGACGUGAGGGAGCUACAUCAGGCCGAUCUUGAAAUCCUCGGGAGGUUGCCAGCUCUCCGCUUUCUAAAUCUGGUGGUGGACAAUAAGAACCUCGAUAUCCUUGCGGGAUUUGUCAUUGGUAGCCUUGUAAGCUGUUUCUUGUGGUAAUUUGUGUGGCCAGUGGUAUUUCAGCACGGAGCUAUGCCAAGGCUCAGGAAGCUUUUGUUCUUGUCGUUUUAUCUGCGGGAGACGAGGAAUUUCUUGCAAUGACGAUAGUCACGACUUGGGCCUCAAAAACCUGCCAUCGCUGCAGAUGUCCGAGCUGACCUGCGAUGUGAUGGUACUAGCAAGGAGGAGGCAGAGCAAGCCAAGGCUGCGCUAACCCAUGCCGGUGAAAUGCAUCCCAAUCAUCCCUCAUGCUGGAUCAAAAUUACAGGUGCGCCAGCUCCUGAUUGUUAUUCUUUACUUGUCUCCUUCCCCCUUUCUUCUAAACUGUAUUAGCGUUUAUUCCUCUGUUUGAGAUGGUCGAUCUCCAUCUGAUCUUUCACCACGCCUUUCUUCUAGCCCCUUUGCCUCAAUUCUUCUAAUCUUCCUUUCGUUCUGAUAUACAGAUGCCCUUUACGCCGGAAGGUGAAGCUGGAGCAGAGCAGAUGACAAAGUCCUCUGUUUCGCCACGCAUGCAGAGGUUAAACUGCUCGGCCAUGUGCUUUACCAGAUACCCUCAACCUGUGAGUAAACAAUGAAUGCUGCACACAUGAUUGUAAUCCCUGACUAACUUACCCCUCUCUACUCAUAUUACCGUUUAUUAUAGUCAUUGCAAAGGGACUGAGCUGUCUCCUGCGCCCCUGACCUAGUUGCCUUGUAUCGUCUCAGUGGUUCAGGGCUUUGGCUGUUUUUGGGUUAAUGUUGCAGCUUGUGAGCGUAAUCAUCUUGUGAGCCGUAUGCAUGGACGGCAGUAUGUAUUCAGUUGAUCGACCAUACUUGCAGACAUUUGAUUUGUUCAUUAUUCAGUUGCUAAAUCAUACGGAUCAAGGCAUCAAGAAGUCCAUGGUAACAUUUGUAGAUGCAGGAUUGGGCCGCAGCAGCAGUAGACGAGCCCGCUGUCCGGGUUGAAACCCAGUACUUGCACCUUCAUACAGAAUCGGCCUGUUCGCUUCAGCUUAUUCAGCCGGCUUAUCAGCCACCAAACAGUGUUUUUCUCUCACAACAAAUCAGCCGUUUCAGCUUUUCAGUCGGCUUAUAAGCGAAGCGAACAGGCUAUUAUCUUUUUCCGGAUGCUACUGGACGGCGCUGCCAUCAGCUGACUAUGCUGCAGCGGCGAUGAGCAGAGGCAUCAGCGGUGGCACAGUGAUGGCGAAGACGAAAAUAUAGAUAAAAAUAGAGAGAUAGAUAUGGAUACAUAUAGACAUAGAUUUUAAGGACCUUGAUCCUCGAAACAUAUUUUACUCUCUUAAUUGACCAAGUUCUGUGCGUUAGAAUUAGGAAUUAAUUGAAAAAUGCAAAGGCAAUACACGGUACAUGGUUCAUGCGGGAGUACGGGUUGAUGGACUAGUGAAAUCUAGAUUACAUGGUAAGAAGGGAUAGUGUGAUUGGGAGGAUGUCCUUUCGAUCCUUGAAAACUUGUUACACGUAUAUUUUGUGCAAAUAGUGUGUGACUUGUAAUUUGCGACUCGCAACAACUUGGGUAGAUCGGGGAUUACAUCCAGAUUUACGGAUUUUUUUCUUGCUAUCUUUUGGUUCUACUAUCUCACUGGCUCUUAUUGCAAGUCGGAAAGGAUACUAGCAUCUCUAUGGCCAUGCAACAACGGCACGAUACCGCCGGCUUGAAAAUAGAUACGGAUGAGCAUAUUUGUCUUUGCUCCUUUUAUUUGCCACUUCCUGGCGUCAUGCGACUUCUACAGUCAACUAUAGCCCCUUUUGGACUUGUCUUGCCUUCGCUUAUUCUCUUCUCCAUCCAUUUGGUCUGUUUCUACUAGUGAUAUUCCAUUCAAUACUAUCUUGAUUUACUAAAUCUUUAAUAGCCCUCUAGUUAGCAUAGCUUAAUUAAACAUUCUAUAGGAGAAAAAACUAACUUAUUAUAAAGUUUAAUUUGCUAGUAACAUGGCUUUCUUGAAUUAUCUGGUACAGGUACUUCAUUCUUAUUGAUGACAUAUGGAAACUCUCAGACUUCAAAAUGAUUAAACGUGCUUUGCUUGGUAAUAAUGCUGGAAACAAAAUAAUCACAACUACUCGUAUUCUCAAUAUUGCUGAACAAGCUGGCCGUGCUUACAAGUUGCAACCCAUUUCUCUGAACAACUCUCGGAAACUAUUUUUGAGAAGAAUAUUUGGUAAUGACAACAAAGACAACAAUGAAGAAGAAGAAAGAUGUUCUAACGAUGAGUUGGCCGAAGUAUCUGACAAAAUACUAAAGAAAUGUACUGGUGUGUCAUUAGCUAUAAUUACGAUGGCUAGUUUGCUAGCUUGCAAAGCAAGAGAUAAAAUUGAGUGAUAUGAGGUGUGCAAUUCUGUUGGUACUGGUCUGGAAAACAAUCUAGAUGUGGAGAAUAUGAGAAAGAUUUUGUCAUUUAGCUAUUAUGAGCUACCAUGCCAUUUACGGACUUGCUUGUUAUAUUUGAGCAUGUUUCCUGAAGAUUAUGAAAUUAAGAAGGAUCGUUUGAUAAGGAUGUGGAUAGGUAAAGGUUUUAUCUAAUGUGAAAAAGGAGGGAAGAGCUUAUUUGAACUCUUAGAGAGUUAUUUCAAUGAGCUUAUAAACAGAAGCAUGAUCCAAUCAAUACAUGAUAAUUCAAAUAAUAUGAUAUGGUCCUAUCAUGUGCAUGAUAUGGUGAUUGAUCUUAUCCGCUCCUUAUCAAGUGAAGAAAACUUUGUUACUGUACUAAGUAAUAUGGGAGACACAUCUCCGUCAAAUACGAUUCGGAGGUUGUCCCUUCAGAAUGGUUAGGAAAGUCAUGUGAUGGCUCAAGCUACUUUCACCAUGCAACAUGCAAGGUUAGUUGUUGUCUUUCCAGCUGCAGCUUCUCUAGUGCCACCUCUUGCCUGCUGCCGAGUUUUACAGGUUCUGGAUUUAGAGUACUGCAAUCUUUCACAAGCUAAUAGUAUCCUUAAGUACCUUGGGAAUAUACAUCACUUGAGGUACUUGGGACUAUGUAAGACAGGUAUUUCUCAGCUCCCGGAAGAAAUAGAAAACUUGUAGUUUCCAGGUUGCCUUCGAGUGUUGUCCAGCUAAAGUUGAUGUGCCUGUACAUUGACGAGUUUACGAGAGUGCCAAACGGAAUUGGAAACCUAACAUGCCUUGAACAGCUGUCAUUGUUACGCAUUAAUGACUCUGCCAUAAACAUUAUAGAAGAGUUGGGCCAGCUAAGUGAACUGAGGCAACUGUUCUUUGGAUUGUACGAGUGGAACAACAAGCUAUUGGAGUGUCUAUGCAAACUACAAAAAAUGCAGGAACUAUUUAUCGGCGGUCCUGUUCAACACAGCAUCGGCGGAUUUGGUUCCUUGGUCGCCCCUCGACAUCUCCGCAUGUUGAGUAUACGAGACAUCUGUUGGUUUUCAACACUCACUGGUAGAGAACUCGGUAUUAGUCCCGGUCGGUAGGGUGCAAAUCUCCCGAAAAUCCAUCCGGGAUAAACCAACCGAGACAAAAGGGGGUCUUUUGUCCCGGGUCACUCAACCGGGACUAAAGACCCCCUUUUAUCCCAGUUGGUAAUACUAACCGGGAUAAAACAUGUCACCACGCCAGGCGCUGCAAAACAAAAAAGAAAUCCCAGGAGGCCCCUCCACAUCGCAAGUCACAAGUCACACGAUUUUUCACGCAAAAUAUGCGCGUGCGCACUGCGUGGGAUUCGAACCCACGACCUCCAACCUUGCAUGUAGCUUCCUUGCCAUCCCACCUACACAACACAUCUAACUAUAUAGGGGAUGUAAUCCUUUUAUAUUAACUCGUGGGGGACCCUUUUAUUCCGGUUGGAAACACCAACCGGGAUAAAAGACCCCCUUUAUCCCGGUUGGUAUUACAAACUGGGAUAAAAGGGUUCGAGGGAUUUACUCCUCUUUCAGUCACCCCGUUGGGGAUCCUUUUAUCCCAGUUUGAAACACCAACCGGGAUAAAGACCCCAUUGCGUUUUAUCCCACUUUGCAAUACCAACCGGGAUAAAAGGGGGUCUUUUAUCCCGGUUGGUGAAAGGGGUCUUUUAUCCCGGUUGGUUUUUCAAACCGGGAUAAAAGGUCUCUCAAGAUCUUUUUUUCCACUAGCCUUUGCAACCGGGAUAAAAGAUCCCGCUUGGUGAGCCCCCGCCAGUGACCGAGCUUUAGUCCCGGUUGGUGAACCUUUUGUCCCGAACCAACUUUAAACCGGGAUAAAAUGGGACGCAUGGAAGGUGAGUUCUCUACUAGUGAGAGCCAGCUUGGUGAAUCCAUCGCUUCUUCUAGACCUCACCGUGCUAUGCAUCGACGUGAGGGAGCUACAUCAGGCCGAUCUUGAAAUCCUCGGGAGGUUGCCAGCUCUCCGCUUUCUAAAUCUGGUGGUGGACAAUAAGAACCUCGAUAUCCUUGCGGGAUUUGUCAUUGGUAGCCUUGUAAGCUGUUUCUUGUGGUAAUUUGUGUGGCCAGUGGUAUUUCAGCACGGAGCUAUGCCAAGGCUCAGGAAGCUUUUGUUCUUGUCGUUUUAUCUGCGGGAGACGAGGAAUUUCUUGCAAUGACGAUAGUCACGACUUGGGCCUCAAAAACCUGCCAUCGCUGCAGAUGUCCGAGCUGACCUGCGAUGUGAUGGUACUAGCAAGGAGGAGGCAGAGCAAGCCAAGGCUGCGCUAACCCAUGCCGGUGAAAUGCAUCCCAAUCAUCCCUCAUGCUGGAUCAAAAUUACAGGUGCGCCAGCUCCUGAUUGUUAUUCUUUACUUGUCUCCUUCCCCCUUUCUUCUAAACUGUAUUAGCGUUUAUUCCUCUGUUUGAGAUGGUCGAUCUCCAUCUGAUCUUUCACCACGCCUUUCUUCUAGCCCCUUUGCCUCAAUUCUUCUAAUCUUCCUUUCGUUCUGAUAUACAGAUGCCCUUUACGCCGGAAGGUGAAGCUGGAGCAGAGCAGAUGACAAAGUCCUCUGUUUCGCCACGCAUGCAGAGGUUAAACUGCUCGGCCAUGUGCUUUACCAGAUACCCUCAACCUGUGAGUAAACAAUGAAUGCUGCACACAUGAUUGUAAUCCCUGACUAACUUACCCCUCUCUACUCAUAUUACCGUUUAUUAUAGUCAUUGCAAAGGGACUGAGCUGUCUCCUGCGCCCCUGACCUAGUUGCCUUGUAUCGUCUCAGUGGUUCAGGGCUUUGGCUGUUUUUGGGUUAAUGUUGCAGCUUGUGAGCGUAAUCAUCUUGUGAGCCGUAUGCAUGGACGGCAGUAUGUAUUCAGUUGAUCGACCAUACUUGCAGACAUUUGAUUUGUUCAUUAUUCAGUUGCUAAAUCAUACGGAUCAAGGCAUCAAGAAGUCCAUGGUAACAUUUGUAGAUGCAGGAUUGGGCCGCAGCAGCAGUAGACGAGCCCGCUGUCCGGGUUGAAACCCAGUACUUGCACCUUCAUACAGAAUCGGCCUGUUCGCUUCAGCUUAUUCAGCCGGCUUAUCAGCCACCAAACAGUGUUUUUCUCUCACAACAAAUCAGCCGUUUCAGCUUUUCAGUCGGCUUAUAAGCGAAGCGAACAGGCUAUUAUCUUUUUCCGGAUGCUACUGGACGGCGCUGCCAUCAGCUGACUAUGCUGCAGCGGCGAUGAGCAGAGGCAUCAGCGCUGGCACAGUGAUGGCGAAGACGAAAAUAUAGAUAAAAAUAGAGAGAUAUAUGGGUACAUAUAGACAGAGAUUUUAAGGACCUUGAUCCUCGAAACAUAUAAACUCUCUUAAUUGACCAAGUUCUGUGCGUUAGAAUUAGGAAUUAAUUGAAAAAUGCAAAGGCAAUACUGACAUCGUUUUUCCUGGAUCCACAUUGAGAGGAAAAAUGAGAAUGUACUGCAACCAUAUUGCCACCGUCUACCAUCUCUUUCUUCUGCACUGCUAUGCCUGCCGCUGCGACAAAAAGAAUGGAGAAAAAUCAUGUGGCCUCAGAGGAGCUUGGGCCGGAGGAGAAGCUGUCUGAGAGGGACCUGGGAGAAGGAGAAGCUAUCGAUAUGAGAAGCAAUAAUUUGCCUAUCACCGAUCCAUACGUCUCCCACCUGCCCUGUUCCAAUAAUUGCAAGACAGCAGGACGCACAUGCUGUGUUUCAGCGUGCAAUGAAAGUAGUGAUGCAAUACUCUAGGGUGUUUGGUUACCUUUACGUGUCACAUCGAAUAUUUAGAUACUAAUUAGGAGUAUCAAACGUAGACUAUUUACAAAACCCAUUACAUAAGUGGAGGCUAAACUGCGAGACGAAUCUAUUAAGCUUAAUUAAUCCAUCAUUAACAAAUGUUUACUGUAGCAAUACAUUGUCAAAUCAUGGACUAAUUAGGCUUAAUAGAUUCAUCUCACCGUUUAGCCUCCACUUAUGUAAUGGAUUUUGUAAAUAGUCUACGUUUAAUACUCCUAAUUAGUAUCUAUACAUUCGAUGUUUCGGUGUGCUUUUUCUGUUGUGUGCGUAAUAACUUUGCUCCGCAGAACACGGUGCCCUGCUAGGUCCUGUUGUUAUUCGUUUACAAAACUGUAAGCGAUCUAAAAAACAUUUGUCAAGUGGAUUUGUCAAGAAAUUGCAAGGAAACUUUUCACAGUCGACAGGGACCAAAGAAAUUCCAUCGAUAUUUCAGGCUGUGAUCAAUGGGUUUCUACACUGAUAGGCAUACCGCAGGCCUUGACCUCGUGCCUUGCCGUGGUUCUCUUGACAAACAGAUGAGGAAGAAUUCAAAGUCCUUCUCAGGUGUGACGCGCAAUCGUCACAGUCGCAUGGGCCACGAAUGAUAGGGUUCCACAGUGACCUCUUGUAUUAGCUCUCUCGUCUUCCGGUAUGAACGGUCGUCAUUCGUCUGGUGAGGCCGAUAUUAAUUGUUUGCAUCCAUUUGCAUCUUGGUCAUGUUGCAGAAUUGUAUGCAUAAGCAGAGACUUGUGACGUACGAGGCGUGGUUGUGCUCAAAAGCUAGCUUAAGCACCACAGUGUAACUCCCUGCUCACACACAUACACAGCAAACUUCCUCCUUGCACCCAGAGGUAGAGCUAUGGAAGUCGUAGCGGGCGCACUGCCGAGUCUCCUCCCCAAGCUUGCUGAGCUACUUGUUGGAGAGUACAAUCUUCAGAAGGAGGUGAAGAAGGGGAUAAUGUUCCUCCAAGAUGAGCUUGAGAGCAGCUGGGUGCCCUCGAGAAAUCUCCAAGAUACCAUCAGACAAAAUUGAUGACCAGGACAAGAUCUGGGCCAGGAAUGUGUCACACCUGAUUUUAGAGCAAAAUCAGAUGAAUAAAUUACAUAUGCGCUAGGAUCAAAUUUUACACGUGCAACGACUUCAGUAAAUAACAUAGAUAGUGCCAUGUGCGUUAGGAUCAAGUUUCACAUAUGCAACGACUUCAGUAAAUAACAUAGAUAGUGCCAAAAGAUAAAGAGAGUAUUAAAUUUAUUACAUGACCAAAAGUUUUUAAUUCGAAUAUCAAAACGAGUCUUUAUUCUAACAGUGGAACUCCAUCAACGAUGACUACGACUCCACAUGCAGUUGACUGGUGGCACACAUACGCCUGGAAUUUUUCAAAGUCUUCAAGAACCUCCUCAAAGUUGACGUGAUCCAAACAACGGUUUUUGCAAGGGUGAGUACAAUUAUGGUUGAUACUCAAUAAGCGUGAAGAAUGUGUAGUGUAAGGCUAUUCAAAGAUAGGCUAAGGUUUAAUAGCAUUUUAAUUGGUUGGUCAAAUUUUAUUAGCAAUUACUAAGUAUAAGUUUAUACCAUCCACAUUACACAUGAACAUAAAUAAAGAUCACAACAAUAAAUAACAUCAAUUUAAUUCAACUUUCGAUAAAUUAAUCAUGUUAGGGUCCAGACCGCUCUUGACUGUGAGCACGACUGAUAUAACAGUUUUACACUCUGCAGAGGUUGCACAUUUUUACCCACAAGUUGCAUAAAAGUUCAAAAGAACUUUGGACCCAACCAUACUGUGCGGGCCAGGCACAAUACCAUACUUCCAAGGUACAUGACUCAAUGCUCUGGUCGCUCUGCAGGAAUUGGUACUUGAUUUUCCCGCCACUCUACCAUGAGGUAGACUAGUGUCUAGGACUUGAUUGCUAUCCUUGGCUUGAAGUCUAAGGAUAAUGCCCCGGGUUCCACUGCCCACUUGGAUAUCCUCCCCGUUGCAUCGCGGUUGUGGAGAGUUUCGCCCAAGGGAAUGUCUGUGACGAUGGAGAUGCUAUGCUCCUGGAAGUAGUGGUGUAUCUUCCGCGAGAUGAAUAGUAUUGCAUAUAACAAUUUCUGGACUAGCUGGUUGCUUUUUUACAGUGACAGGUAUAGUGCGAAAACUGUGGCGGAAGUGCUUGUACCAACCCAAUUAAUAUUUUGUUUAAGAGAAAGUUUAGUUGGGAUAAGUUAAUUGAGUAGUACAAACUUGAUUUCUCGAAGAUUUUUGUACGCUGGAAGAUUUCUCGAAGAACAAAGCAUGCAUGAACAAAGCAACGCUGAGACCAAUGCCAGGGCUUGUCCUGGGUGCCCAGUAGCAUGUAUAAUCACGCAACUGCAAGCAAUCAAAAAAGAUCUUGAGAACAAGUGGACCGGGGUGAUUGUAUUUGUCAAGAAAUUGCAAGGACCCUUCACAGUUGACAGGGACUAAAGAAAUUGCAUUGAUUAUCUAGGACCCUUCACAGUCUACAGGGACUAAAGAAAUUGUAUUGAUAUUUCAGGCUGUGCUCAAUUAGUUUCUACACUGAUAGGCAUACCGCAGACCUUGACCUCGUGCCUGGACGUGGUUCUCUGAAGAAACAGAUAAGGCAAAAUUCAAUGUCCUUGUUAGGUGCAACGUGCAAUUGUUACAAUUGCAUGGGCCACUGAAUGAUAGGGUUCCAUAGUGACCUAUUGUAUUAGGGGGUGUUUGGUUUGGGGCUGCUAAAGUUUAGUCACUUUUAGUCCCUAAACUGCCAAACACGGUGACUAAAAGUCCUUUAGUCCCCAAGAGGUUGCUAAAAGGGACUAAAAGGGACCUUGGACAGGGUGUGCCCCUCAUUAAUACCCCGUCCCUCCCUUCCCCACCCCGCCGCUGGCCUCCGCCCUUCUCGGCACUCGCCUCGCCGCCAGCCCCCGCCGGCCCCGGCCACCCGCCCGCCGCUCCUGGCCCACCGGCCGCUCCUGCCCGUCGAGAGGGCCCCGCAAGGCUGCGCACGGGGAGGCGCAGGGACGCCACGCGGCCGCCGGCAUUGCAGGACAUGCUAUCCCAGGCGCAGCACGCAGUGGCGGCAGGGGAGGAGGAGGGGACCACGCGGCGCGAAGGCUGGCGCCACCGGCGCCCGUGAGGUUCCCGGCGAAGGCCCCCAGUGCGCGGAGGUUGUCCCGGUGGCAUGACACGGCUGCCGCAGCGGCGGCGCGCGACAGGAGGAGGAGUGGGAGUAAGAGUGCGCAUUUGGCGGCCAUGGAUUUGAGGCUCGGGCAUGUGCUGUGUGUGCCUGCAUGGGGAAGCAGAGAAGGAAAAAGGUAGCGGGAGGCAUUGAUUAGGGGUAGUUUGGUCUUUGUUCAACUGCUUUAACGGCCUUUAGUCACUAGAAUCAAACAGGAGGAUUAAAGUUUAGGGGGUGUUUGGAAGGGGUGCUAAACUUUAGCACCCCACUUUUAGCUCCCUUUUAGCACAUCGGUUCCCAAACAGGGAUGAUAAAAGGUGUGUGCUAAAGUUUAGCACCUCCAUUUUCUUUAGCACAUCCAAGAGGUGCUAAAAGGUGCUAAUGGGUGCUAAAAGUGGUCCAAGCCCACUUUUUCCCCUGUUGCCCUCCCGCAUCCCCUUUCUCUCUCUCCCACAACGCAUAUGAGGGGCACUGUUGUCAUUUGCCACCAAAGGUGCUAAAGUUUAGCACACUAUCCAAGCAGCCCAAGGUACUAAACUUUAGCCCUCCAUUUAAGGGUGCUAAACUUUAGCACUUGGUUCCCAAAUGGGGCCUUAGUCCAGUGAAUAAAGGGGGAUUAAAGUUUAGGGGGCGUUUGGUUCCUUGAGCUAAAGUUUAGUCCAUAUCACAUCGAAUAUUCGGAAGCUAAUUAGGAGGACUAAAUAUGAGUUAAUUAUAAAACUAAUUGCAGAGAUGGAGGCUAAAAGGCGAGACGAAUCUUUUAAGCCUAAUUAAUCUAUCAUUAACAAAUGGUUAUUGUAGCAGCACAUUGUCAAAUCAUGAACUAAUAGACUUAAUAGAUUCGUCUCGCCGUUUAGCCUCCAUCUAUGUAAUGGGUUUUGUAAAUAGUCUAUGUUUAAUACUCCUAAUUAGAAUCUAAACAUUCGAUGUGACAGGGGCUAAAAAUAAGCAACGGGACCAAACGCCCCCUUAGUUUAGUCCCUAAAGGAACAAACAGGUCCUUAGCUCUCUCAUCUUCCGGUAUGAAUGGUCAUUCGGCUGGUGAGGCCGAUAUUAAUUGUUGCAUCUAUUUGCAGCUUCUGAUAUGUUGCAGAAUUGUAUGCAUAAGCAGAGACUUGGUCAAUGCAACCAGGGAGGAAAUUGGAAAACGUAUAUAUAUACAAAAACAUGCUGGCAUGAGACCAUAAGAAAUUCUCUUGCAGCAGAAUUGGAGCUUCCCGUCACUGUUGCGCCUUCGUGAUCGGUCGGUCUAGGGUUUUGUCGGUGGGGUGGCUGGCAGCAUGGUGAACCUCGUACCAUGCGCCCUGGCCCCCACCUCUAUUUUUAUAGGGCAGGUGACAAGGACCCACCACCCAAUGCUAGGGUGGGCACCCCCGAUCAAGGCGCGAGUUAAGGGCUCAAUGGGCCGUUGGGCCCAUUAGAGAAGAGAUCAAUCUAACAACAUGGACUUGCCGGCGGCCGCACCUAAUCCUUCAUGGAAGAGGCGUACAGAUAAGAGCAAGUAAUCAAGAGAACAAGUGCAUGGGAGAGCAUUAUAGAGUAUUUGUCCAGAAAUUGGAUUAGUAUGUCCUGAACUCACGAUAGUGACCGGAGAAAAGGCAGCGAAACGGAACCGGAAACGAUGGGGAGACCAUGGCCUUGACCUCGAGUCGUCGACUGGAGUGAGCACGUGAGCGUGGCCCUCCUGGACAAGCAGCGGGGCCAGGAGCAGGACAUGCAGGGAUCCAAUAAUUCCCUGCAUCGAUCCCCAUCGGGCUCUUUCGUUCUCUGCCAAGCCAGCAGCGACCAGCAAGCAUUGAGUUUGGUGGUUGUACCAGCAAGUAGUGGGUUGGUGACAUACCAAAAAUAGUUGGCAAAUGGGAAUAUUUACGACUUUUUGAUGUUCCUACGCAUUGGUAGCCACGUUAUAACAAGAUGAUAUCACAUUCUAUUGGUGCGUAGGUCCUGUUGUUCGUUAUUUAUUUAUUUUUUUUUGCCGAAAGUGUACCUCCGUAUGUAGAUGAGGCUAUCACAUUCUUUCUUUCUGCAACCUGUCGGUUAAACUAAUAAUAAUGAGUAAGCCGGAGAGAAAAGCGCACGUCAGCACCAUGUGAGCGGGCCCCACCAUGUGCCACCGAAAGGAAGGUGAUGUGCAGGAGCAAUACUUUUGCCUUUUGCUGUAGCCGCAUGGGCCUCUGGAGAGAGAGAAGAGAAGAGAAGAGGAUUGAGAAAAAUAAAACAUUUUUGUACGUGGGUCCCACAAAAGUUUGUAAAAAUAUUUCCCCUUGCGACCAACCUGCCCUUGACGUGACCUCGAGCAUCAAUUAUAAUUUGCCUGUCCCUUCCUGCAUCCGCAUCCCAUCAACCUCUCGUGCUGUUCCAAGGCGCUUGCGAGCUGUGUUGCGGCCGAGCAAGCUUGAAUCAAGCAACCUCGGUCCGGCGACGAGCGGCGGGCAGCGCGAUCCGGCCAUGGAGGUGGUGACAGGGGCACUGCCGAGCGUCAUCACCAAGCUUGGUGACCUGCUCGUCGGUGAGUACAAGCUGCAGAAGGGGGUGAAGGGAGAGAUCAGCUUCCUCCAAGCUGAGCUCGUGAGCAUGAAGGGUGCUCUUGAGAAAGUCUCCAACACACCGGCUGACCAGCUUGACAUUCAGGACAAGAUUUGGGCCAAGGAUUUGAGAGAGCUGUCCUACGAUAUAGAGGACAAUAUUGACACAUUCAUGGUCCGUGGAGAGGGCAAUGAGCAGGCCAAGCUGCGUGGCAUCAAGAAGUUCAUUGAUAGAAGUGUUGGUUUGUUCAGAAAGGCCAAGGUUCGCCAUGGCAUUGCUACUGAAAUCAGAGACAUCAAACUCCGUGUUGAAGAGGUGGCCAAGCGGCAUGAUCGGUACAAGUUAUCAAACAGUAAUGUAGCUAAGCCUGUCCCAAUCGACCCUCGAUUACUUUAUCAGUACGAUAAGGUGACUGAGCUCGUUGGCAUUGAGGAGGCAAGAGAUGAGGUAAUUCGGAUUCUGAUGGAAGGCAAUGAAGUGUCCAAGCAGCAAGACAAGAUAAUUUCCAUUGUUGGGUUUGGAGGCCUGGGAAAGACAACUCUUGCUGAUGUGGUGUAUAAAAAGCUUAGAGCACAAUUUGAGUGCGCAGCUUUUGUUUCGGUAUCUCAGACACCUGACCUGGAAGAAUUACUCAAGCGCAUGUUCUGUCAACUUGUCGGGAGGGAAAGUAACAAGAGCAGCGAUGUUGCCAGAGAGCUCAGAGAAUUCCUCGAGAAUAAGAGGUAUGAAAGCAUUUCACUACACUUUAUUGGCAUCUGUUUAUAUCUAUCUUUUUGUUUGUUUGUAUUUUCAAAUAUGGACAUUGCAGCACCUAGUAAUCAGAUUUUCAUUACUAGAAGAAACAGGCUCCUCAUUAUCAGCUCAUAUGUGUAGUAAAUUUGAAACCGAUAUGGAUAUGUUAUCCAUGCUAACUCAUAAUGUGAGCCAGUAGUGGUAGGUCUCCAAGUAUUAUUCACCAGUAUGGAUGCUAGUUAAGUAUGCAUAUUAGUUAUCCUUAUGCCUCUUAUUACGAGACCAGUGCUGAUGCUUUGCACGCUUGUAAUUAUAAUUUUGUCUUGUUUUAAAAUUUGUAACUUUUUUCAGACUUCAUAUGACAAUUGUAGGUUUCAGCGAGAUCUACAACUAUUUAGUUGAAUAUUUAAUUUAAAGUUACUUAGAUGGCUAUAUAAUUGAUUAAAAAAUUAGAUGAUGAGGGUCAAAAGGAAGAAAACUCUCCACUGAUGUUAGCAAUAAAAUCUAGAUUACAUGGUAAGAACGGAUAGUAUGAUGGGGAGGAUGUCCUUUCGAUCCCUGAAAACUUCUUACACGUCUAUUUUGUGCGAAAAGUGCGGGAAUUGUGAUUUGCGACUUGCAACCACUUAGGUAGAUUGGGGAUUACAUCCAGAUUUACAGAUUUUUUCUUACUACCUUUUAGUUUUACUAUCUCACUGGCUCUUAUUACAAGUCAGCAAGGAUACUCGCAUCUCUAUCGGCCAUGCAACAACGGCAUGGAUACCACCGGCUUGAAAAUAGAUAUGGAUGAGCAUAUUUGUCUUUGCUCCUUUUAUUUGCCACUUCCUGGCUUCAUGUGACUUCUACUGUCAACUGUAGCCCCUUUUGGUCUUGUCUUGCCUCCACUUGUUUUCUUCUCCAUCCAUAUGUCUGCUUCUACUAGUGAUAUUCCUUUCAAUGCUAUCUUGAUUUACUAAAUCUUUAAUAGCCCUAUGGUUAGCAUAAUUUAGACAUUCUAUAUGAAAAAAAACUAGAAGUUUAUAACUUAUCAAGUUUAAUAUGCUAGUAACAUGGCUUUAUUAAAUUAUCUGGUACAGGUACUUCAUUGUUAUUGAUGACAUAUGGUACAUCUCAGACUGGAAAAUGAUUAAGCAUGCUUUGCCUGGUGAUAAUGUUGGAAACAAAAUAAUCACAACUACCCGUAAUCUUAAUAUUGCUGAACAAGUUGGCGGUGCUUACAACUUGCAGCCCAUUUCUCUGAACAACUCUCGAACACUAUUUUUUAGAAGAAUAUUUGGUAAUGGAAACAAAGACAACAAUGAAGACAUAGUAAAAUGUCCUGACGAUGAGUUGGCCGAAGUAUCUGACAGAAUACUGAAGAAAUGUGCUGGUGUGCCAUUAGCUAUAGUUACGAUGGCUAGUUUGCUAGCUUGCAAAGCAAGAAAUAAAAUGGAGUGGUACGAGGUGUACAAUUCUGUUGGUACUGGUCUGGAAAAUAAUCUAGAUGUGAAGAAUAUGAGAAAGAUUUUGUCAUUUAGCUAUUAUGAGCUACCAUGCUAUUUAAGGGCUUGCUUGUUAUAUUUGAGCAUGUUUCCUGAAGAUUAUGAAAUUGAGAUGGAUCGUUUGAUAUGGAUGUGGAUAGGUGAAGGUUUUAUCAAAUGUGAAGAGGCAGGGAAGAGCCUAUUUGAACUUGGAGAAAGUUACUUCAAUAUGCUUAUAAACAGAAGCAUGAUCCGACCACUACAUGAUGAUGAUAUGAUAUCAAGAUGUCGUGUACAUGAUAUGGUGCUUGAUCUUAUCCGCUCCUUGUCAAGUGAAGAAAACUUUAUUACUGUACUAAGUGAUGUGAGAGGCACAUCUCCGUCAAAUACGAUUCGGAGGUUGUCCCUUCAGAAUAGCCAGGAAAGUCAUGUGAUGGCUAAGGCUACAUGGAGCUUGCAACAUGCAAGGUCAGUUGUUGUUUUUCCAGCUGCUGCUUCUCUAGUGCCGCCUCUUGCCUGCUGCCGAGUUUUACGUGUUCUGGAUUUAAAGGGCUGCAAUCUUUCACGAGCUAAUAGUAGCCUUAGGUACCUUGGGAAUCUGCAUCACUUGAGGUACUUGGGACUUAAUAGGACAUAUAUUUCUCAGCUCCCGGAAGAAAUAGGAAACCUGCAGCUUCUACAGACAUUGCAUGUAAGAAAUAAUAAAAUUUCCAGGUUGCCUUCGAGUGUUGUCCUGCUAAGAAAGUUGAUUUGCCUAUACAUUGGCGGGUCUACAAGAGUGCCAAACGGAAUUGGAAACCUGACAUGCCUUGAACAGCUGUUAUGCUUACGCAUUGAUGACUUCAACAGAAACAUUAUAGAAGAGUUGGGCCAGCUAACUGAACUGAGGCAGCUGCAUAUUGUAUUGGACGAGUGGGACGACAAGCUAUCGGAGUGCCUAUGUAAGCUACAAAAGAUGCAGAAACUCGAUAUCAGGAUGGAUCCUAGUCAACGCAGCAUCAGCGGAUUGGAUGCCUGGGUCACCCCUCGACAUCUCCGCUUAUUGGAUAUACGAUUCAGCUGCUGGUUUUUAACACUUCCAGCUUGGGUGAAUCCAUUGCUUCUUCCGGACCUCACCAAUCUACACAUCGCCUUGAGGGAGCUACAUCAGGCCCAUCUCAAAAUCCUUGGGAGGUUGCCAGCUCUCCGCUUUCUAGAACUGGAGGUGGACAACAAGAACUUCGGUCUCCUUGCGGGAUUCGUUGUUAGUGCUGGUGCAUUCCCGUGCCUUGUAGACUGUUACUUCCAUCAAUUUGUGUGGCCAGUGGUAUUUCAGCAGGGAGCAAUGCCAAGGCUCAGAGGGCUUCUGUUCUAUGAGUUUUAUCUGCGGGGGGUAAGAAGACUUGCCUGGAAGGACGAUAGUCUCGACUUGGGCCUGAAAAACCUGCCAUCGCUAGAGUUUGUCCGUGCUGGCCUGCGAUGUGAUGGUGCUGGCAAGGAGGAGGCAGAGCAAGCCAAGGCUGCGCUGACGCAUGAAGCUGAAAUGCAUCCCAAUCAUCCCAUUCAUGCUAUCAAUAUUAGAGGUGCGCCUGCUCCUGAUUGUUAUUCCUUACUUGUCUCCUUCCCCCUUUCUUCUAAACUUUAUUUGCGUUUAUUCCUCUGUUUGAGAUGGUGGGAUCUCCGAGUGAUCUUUCACCACGCCUUUCUUCUAGCCCCUUUGCCUCAAUUCUUCUAAUCUUCCUUUGGUAUAUUUCGGUCUGAUAUACAGUUGAGUAUGACGAUGACGAUGACGAGUAUGACGAUGACGAUGACGAGUAAUAUAAGACUUUACGCCGGAAGGUGAAGCUGGAGCAGAGCAGAUGACAAAGUCCCUCUGUUUCGCCACGCAUGCAGAGGUUAAACUGCUCGGCCAUGAGCUUUACCGACUCAGAGCAUGCGUUUGAGACUGAGAGCUUUGAUCGUUUCUGCUGUGCAUCAGAUACUUCGGCCAUGGCAUUUCGUUGCGAGAGUGUAGGAUGACAUUGUCAGUGGAUAUGAUUGUAAUCCCUGACUAACUUCCCCCUCUGUAGUCAUAUUACCGUUUACUUUACUCAUUGCAAAGGGACUGAGCUGUCUCCUGCGCCCCUGAUCUCUGUACUCAGGGCCUUGGCUGUUUAUUUUGAUGAAUUUUUUUUAGAUUAAGUGAUGAAAGAUAAAAACAAUGUAUUUUUGGGUUAAUGUUGCAGCUUGUGACCGUAAUCAUCUUGUGAGCCGUAAGCAUGGACGGCAGUAUGUAAUCAUCUUGUGAGCCGUAAGCAUGUAUCCAUUGUGAGCCGUAAACAUUUUAAUAUUUGGGAUUUGAAUGAUACUCCAGGACUAGUUAUGUGUUCUGAAGUUGCAUUGUAAGAGUUUAAGAACCUUGAUGGCACCUCGGAACAUAUUUUACUCUCUUAAUUGACCAAGUUCUUCCCUCUCGUAAUUUAUUUCAUUUUUAAGCGCCAAUUUCUGUGCGUUAGAAUUAGGAAUUAAUUGAAAAAUACAAAGGCAGUAUUGACAUCGUUUUUCCUGGAUCCACAUGAGAGGAAAAAUGAGAAUGUACUGCAACCAUAUUGCCACCGUCUACCAUCUCUGGACUGCCAUGCCUGCCGCAGAUUGGUGGCACCGUCUACCCGUGUGAGUUUGUUGGCGCUAUUGCAGAGCGUAUGUACCAUUCCCACUAUUAUGACAUAAUGAAUUGAUUGUUGCACACCAUUUUAGAUUGGUGUAAUACAUAAUCAUGUCCAUAGCUUUACUUCCUUCAUGACUACUGCACGCUUCACCGUGGCAUGUAGUGUCUGGUAUGUUAACGUGUGAACAGGAGGAGGUACAUCAAGAACAUAUGGUCUACACUUUGUGCACUAAAGCACAUCAGAAGUCUGUUUUCCAAAGAUCUAGUGUCGAUUAAACAACUUCUACCAUAUAUACACCGAAAGAAACAGAAGUUAGUUAGACUGUGCCAUAUCCACAUCUUCGAAUGAAGGCGUAGAUCAGCAAAUAUUCCAUUGAACUUGACAAAAAAGUUAGUUAGGUACUGCAUUGUUAUUGAUGACAUAUGGAGUGUCUCGAUUUGGGAUACGAUUAGAUGUGCUUUGCCCGAUGAUGUUGGUGGAUACAUAAUUAUCACAACCACUCGUGUUUUAAAGGUAGCCAAACAAGUUGGUGGUGCCUACACGAUGAAACCCCUUUGUCUUGAGAGCUCCCGAAAACUACUGUAUGGAAGAAUAUUUGGUAAUGGGAACAAAGACAACAAUGAAGACAUAGUAAAAUAUCCUGACAAUGAGUUGGCCGAAGUAUCUGAAAGAAUACUGAAGAAAUGUGCUGGUGUGCCAUUAGCUAUAGUUACGAUGGCUAGUUUGCUAGCUUGCAAAGCAAGAAAUAAAAUGGAGUGGUAUGAGGUGUACAAUUCUGUUGGUACUGGUCUGGAAAACAAUCUAGAUGUGGAGAAUAUGAGAAAGAUUUUGUCAUUUAGCUAUUAUGAGCUACCAUGCUAUUUAAGGGCUUGCUUGUUAUAUUUGAGCAUGUUUCCUGAAGAUUAUGAAAUUGACAAGUAUCGUUUGAUAAAUAUGUGGAUAGGUGAAGGUUUUAUCCAAUGUGAAAAAGUAGGGAAGAGCCUAUUUGAACUCGGAGAGAAAUACUUCAAUGAGCUCAUAAACAGAAGCAUGAUCCAACCAAUACAUGAUAGUUUAGAUGAUAUGUUAUUAAGUUGUCGUGUACAUGAUAUGGUGCUUGAUCUUAUCCGCUCCUUGUCAAGUGAAGAAAACUUUAUUACCGUACUGAGUAAUAUGGGACGUACAUCUCCGUCAAAUACAAUUCGGAGGUUAUCCCUUCAGAAUGGCCAGGAAAGUCAUGUGAUGGCUCAAGCUACAUGGAGCUUGCAACAUGCAAGGUCAGUUGUUGUCUUUCCAGCUGCUGUUUCUCUAGUGCCGCCUCUUGACUGCUGCCGAGUAUUACGUGUUCUGGAUUUAGAGGACUGCCAUCUUUCACAAGCUAAUAGUAGCCUUAAGUACCUUGGGAAUUUGCAUCACUUGAGAUACUUGGGACUUCGUGGGACAGGUGUUUCUCAGCUCCCGGAAGAAAUAGGAAACCUGCAGCUUCUACAAACAUUAGAUGUAAGGGGUACUGAAAUUUUCAGGUUGCCUUUGAGUGUUGUCCAGCUAAGAAAGUUGAUGUGCCUAUACAUUGACUGGUUUACAAGAAUUCCAAACGGAAUUGGAAACCUGACAUGCCUUGAACAGCUGUCAUGGUUACACAUUGAUGACUCUACCAUAAACAUUAUAGAAGACUUGGGCCAGCUAACUGAACUGAGGCAGUUGUAUAUUCAAUUGAACAAGUGGAACGACAAGCUGUUGGAGUGCCUAUGCAAGCUACAAAAGAUGCAGGAACUAGUUAUCACGGUCUAUCCUUGUCAACGCAGCAUCGGCGGGUUGGAUGCCUGGGUCGCCCCUCGACAUCUCCGCAAAUUGGAUACACUACACACCUGUUGGUUUUCAACACUGCCGGCUUGGGUGAAUCCAUCGCUUCUUCCGGAUCUCACCAAGCUAGACAUCGCCGUGAGGGAGCUACAUCAGGUUGAUCUCGAAAUCCUCGGGAGGUUGCCAGCUCUCCGCUUUCUAAAACUGAAGGUG